Molecule: long non-coding RNA, 46646 nt
Filed under: Lactuca sativa (garden lettuce)
Lineage: Eukaryota; Viridiplantae; Streptophyta; Magnoliopsida; Asterales; Asteraceae
Description: long non-coding RNA (LSAT_LNC005696)
Source: RNAcentral
GAAAUAUGCUUUUGGAAAGAUGUUGAUUAUUGGAAACGAGCCUCCAUUCAAGGUCAAGGGUUUGUGGCUUUUCCGUGGGACUGAAAUCCCAAAAUUUGUGAUGGAUGAGUGUUAUGACAUGGAGCUUUACGAGUGGACCAAGGUUGACCUCUCUGACGAGGCACAAAAGGAGCGAGUGAAUCAGAUGAUUGAAGAUUUUGAGCCUUUUGAAGGUGAAACUCUCUUGGAUGCCAAGUGCUUCAAAUGAAGGGAAAUUGGAAAAUGCUCUGAUACCUAUCAUGAAUAAAUAUAAUACAGUGAUCUGCGAAGUUCAACAUGCUAAUUGUACUCCAUACAGAAUGCCCGAUGUGGCCGAAAAGCAAGUAGCAACCCUUUGAACGCUAUGCAGUCCAAGUAAGAAAGCAAAAUGUGAAUAAAAAACUAUUGUAGUCCAAAAAUACUAAUGUUACCAUGUGUAAAACAUGUGAAAUAUUUGAAAUCUCAUGUUGAAGCUGGAAAAUAAGAUUUUCUGUUGAACAUGUUAUAUACUUAAAUGUGGAAACGAUUGAGUUGUAGGCGAUGGAGAUGAGGACUGAAGUUGGUUUCUUUUUCUUCUAUAUGCUCAUCCAAAAAUUGAUGAUUGAUGUUGGUCUGAGAAGAUGGAGAUUGGAGACUCAUCGCCUCAUCGGAGAUGAUUAGACCUUAAUAGCCGAUCAAAAUGAUAAUUUUUAAAUAUCAAAGUCAGUUUAAUGGUAAAUUAACUGUAACUGCCGAUCAAUUUGAUUUUUUACUAUACUUUAAAGACAUGAAAAGAUUUCUUUUAGUUAGAAAUUAAUAUGUUACAUUAAAUUAUUUUUAUAUAAAUAUAUAUUUGAUUUAUAGUUUAUAUUGUUAUACUAAACUGCUAACUCUUACAAUAUAAAACAAAAUAAACUAAAUAUUUAAGCUAUCUAUUGAUAGUUAUUGAAUAUUUACUCAUUAUAAAUGAUUAUAAUAAUUAUUAAAAAUAUAAAAUAAUUGUUGUGUGGAGACCACUUUCAAAAGAAUAUAAAUAUUACAUUGAUGUAUAAAGUAAUUGCAAAAGGUAAUGUAACCGGUGGCAGAUCUAUAUGAAUGUAGGGAUGAGCAUACGAUCUGUGAGGUUGGACCGGACCGGAAAAAAAUCGGGACCUGAUCCGGACCGAACUAGAUUAUCAUAUUAAUAGGCCAGUUUUCGGGUUUGGUUUUUCUCAAUAAUCGGGUUUCGGGUUUGGACUGGACCGUACCCGAAUUAAAGGAUUUAAAUCGGACUUGACCGGAAAACCAAAUUUUUUUUUUAUUUUAUUGACAAACAGUAAGCAAAAAUUACUAAAAAAAAAUGUUGUCCGAUUGAAUUGAUUCGGACUCUCCUAUGGAUUACAUUAUAGUGUCAUUUUUUUUUUGUUUCGGCCUCUUCUCUUUGAUCGUAUUAUGGUGUCGAAUUUUUUUCUCGAAAAACCAAAAGUUAUUUCCUAUUAUAUUUUUUUAAAUAAAAAUAGUGAAGUUUUAAAAAAAAAUAACGCGGUAUUUUUUAAAAAAAGUAAUGUUAAGUGCAAAUUUUUUUUUAUAAAAAUAGUGCAUUUUUUAUAUAAAAAUAGUGAUGUUAAGUGCAAACUUUUUUAUAUAAAAAUAGUGUUGUUUUUUUUUUAUAAAAAUAAUGUAACUUUUUAAUAUCGUCUGUAUUUGGUAAAUACACCUCAUUUGCACGUAUUCUAAUUAAAGUCUUACGUCGUACCAUUGUAUUCAUCUUCUUUUAUGUAUUUUUUUAGUCGAAUUGUGCAAAUAACAAAGAUAAGAAUGAUAGAUGUUACAUAAUAAGAUUAUAAUUUGAAAUACUAUGCUAGAGAGUAACAUGACAAACAAAAUUUGAAACCGUAAACAACAAACAUACGAAACCUAGUUUGGUACAGGAUUGGACCGAAACCGUAAAUAACACUACCAAAGUCUAAUUCGGUCCAAAACCCGAACCUGAUUUAGUACCCGGAACCAAACCGGACCAAACCCGGACCCACUACACCCAAAAACGGUUCGGUUUUUGGGUAAGGUAAUUCAUGAUUUUUGGUCUUCGGGCCGGUCUGUUCCGGGUUCGGCCAGUUGCUCAUCCCUAUAUAAAUGAAUGGGGUAAAAUGGUCAAAAUCAUUAGGUUGGACGAAACUAGUGGCAAAUUUAGAAAACCAUAUGGUUCCAUAAACGGGUUCAAUUGAGGCGGUUCAAAAGAAAAUUGGGUUCAACCGAACUAGUUCAAGAAAAAAUCAGGUUCAAAAAGUCGGUUCAACCGGAAUAUAACUGGUUCACCAUGCAUAAAAAGAGAAAUUGUCAUAAAAGUCCCAAUAUUUUUUGAAAAGUGUCACUUUAAUCCCCAAAAAAAAUUGAACAGAAAAGUCACGAUUAUUUCAUUUUACACGAUAAUAUGUCAUUUUCUGUUACAAGAAAAAAGGAAUUUUUUGGCUAAUUUGAGUCAAAAUGAAAUAAUCGGGAAUUUUCUGCUCAAAUAAAAAAAAUUGGGAUUAAAAGAAACUUUUCUGAAAAUAUUAGGACUUUUCUGACAAUUUCCUUACAUAAAAACUAUGUUUUGUAUUAACGAUCAUUUCAUAUUAGAAUGAAACACAUCACAUUAUAGAAUUAAACACAUAUGCUUGAUAUGUCUCUUAAGCCAACUACAAGUAUGAUAACUAAAUAUAAUUAAUACAAGGACCUUAGUUGUUUUAUAAAUACUUAAAUAAUAAAUUAAGUAAAAUCAUUGUUAAACCAUCGUUCCAAUUAAUAUAUUUAAUUUUUUUGUACCGACAAAUCUAAUCUACGUCUAACCUAACACACCUAACUUCAUUUAUGUCUACAACAGGACUUGAACCCUCGACCUUAAAGAUGAAGAAUAACACAUGAUAUUGCGGGCUAAAAGCCCUUUGGUAAUUAAUAUGUUUAAUUAAUAUUAUUGCUUUUAUAGAUUGGUAAUUAUCAGAAAUCCUAAUUAACUUAUAUAAGUUAUAUAAGAAAUCCUAAUUAACUUGUAUUAGGCUAACUAAUUGCCAUACAAUAGUAAAAGUAAACCUAAUUCUUAAAAUAUUAUCAUCUAAUGAUCAAUUUAUCUACCACUUGCCUUGUUUUUUUUCUUUGUUUAGUUGUUGGUUAAGCCUAAUCAUUGAGGGCCUCACAUGUUAUCUUUUAAGUUUAGCCAAUUGUUACUAAUGGAAAUGAAGAUUGAUAUUGUUAUAUAUAGUCAUAUAUUUUGUGCAAUAUGUACGUACAUUUAGCUAUAUUUUAGUCAUUUAUAAAGAUAUUUGGUACUUAUUUCACUUAAAAUCUAUUUUAUAGCAAAAAUAGACAUUCUCAAGAAAAAGGAGUAAAUUUGAUAAGUUGUAGACUUGGAAACUUGAAGCAUUCAUAAAGAAGAAGAAAUCGUGCAAAAAAGUGGUUGCCACAUCGUUGUCAACAUCUUGCCACGACAUGGUGAUGUGUCAAACUUAGAACAUUCCCCGGGUGUUUGUAUGAAAAGCGUGGAGACUACCUAAAGUAUUUGUCCACCAUGACAUGGUGAGACUUGUGUCACAACCUGGUAUUGGGUUUUUGAAAACUUAUAUAUUCGGAUAUCAGGUCAAAUUUGGAGGGAGCAGUUGUAGUGUGUUGCGCUUACCUACAACUUUAGACGGCCAAAACCCUAAGAAGGGAAGAUAGUGAUUGAAGAACAAGUAUUGAAGAGAUCUAGAUACGGAGAACAUGAUAAUCAUUCAGUUUGCUUACCUAAACAUGUUUAGUGAAGUUCUUAUUGAUUUUAGAUGUUUUUCUGACUUAGUUAUGGGUUAAUAACCAUACACUUUCGUUUAGCAUAGAUAAACCUACUAUGCGUUAAUUUCAAUUAUUUGGAUUUAAUAUGUUAAAGUCCUUAUUAUUAUCACUUAUAUGCAAGUUACGUGUAGUUAGAUGACCAUUCAAAUUGCAUGAACUUUAUAUUUAGUUAUUUUAUGAUUAUUGAAUAGUUAGAUUUAGUAAUUGAACAAAUCCUAGGGUUAGGUGGUAAUAACUAGUAACAUGUAAAUUUGAUUGUGUUAGAGAGGAAUAACUAUCCAUGUUAUGUGCUUGAUUGAUUAUCUUGAUCAUAGAUAAGAAAUCACUAGAUCUUGGCAUUCAUAGUCCGAAAAUAUUACAACCAAUUUAGUGUUCACUUGUUACAUGAUCAUUAUAAGUGUCGUUCAUGAGUUGUUAAAACGCUAAGAACCCAAACAAGAUGGCCAAUAGCUUUAGAAAUCGGUAACCAACUAAAUAAUCCACUACAUAAAAAAUCAACCAUAGAAUAAAGGUGAUUCGAAGCUUAACGAAAGUGCUAUUUUAUCUUGAUUUGAAAUCGUAUUCGUUUUGUUUGCUUUAGUCCAAGUAAUUGUUAGUUAAUUUGCUUUUGAAUUAAUGAUUUAAGUUGUCAAACAUGUAAAAUCAGUAAAACCCCCAAUUUACAGUAUUUCUUUUAGUUUACUUAUUAUCAUUUGAUUUUCAUUGAAAUCAUACUCGUUCCCUAUGAGUUCGACAUUAUUUCUUACCUACAGUAUAUUAUUAUGCGACUAGGUACACCACAUAUUGUAUUUUAACUAGUUGAGUUUGAUAUGAUUUAAAAAUAUUAAAACUAGUGCAUAUAAAAUAACUCAUCAAAGGUUCUCAAAAUCCAUUGGGGGCAUGUGACCCUAUUCUUAGAAGGGUGGAGUCGCCCAUGAAUCUAACAUAGUUGAAAGAUUAAUGACAUUGCAGUAAUAUUAAUUGUCUAUGUAAACAAUCAUCGUAAUCAUAAUAAGCUUGUUUUUCUCUAAAAUAGUCAAUGAGCUAUGUGGAUCUCAAAUAAUCUUCAAAAUCUUUUUUUUGCUUCCUCUAUCCAGCUCGAACAAGUUCAAAUGGUGUAAUGCUCUAAAGUGUAAGUGUGUCACUUAUGGUCCCUAACUCUUGAGCUUCAUGCUAAUGACACUAUUCAACAUCUAAAAGUACUAGCAGGUUAUACCAUUUCACUAGGAAUCCAAGAAAUCAAGUUCUAGAUCUUUUGAUCCCAAUAUUGGUAAAAUAUUAAUCAAACCUCAAGUUUUACAAAAUUUAUAGUUUUAGUGCGUUACAUUUUCCCAAAAGGACAAUAAUUGACAUGUCCAACUUCUAAGUAUCAAUGUGUUAAGAUUAUGUCAUAUUUAAAUCAAGGGUAAAUUACACCAGUCGUCCCUUGUGCAUAUGUCAGAAAGCGUGUUUAGUCCCUAUUUUUAAAAAUUAACUCGGACCGUCCCUCGUUUGCAUAAACCUUGCACACUUCGUCCCUGAUAUGCAUUUUUGUUGCGAAUGUAGUCCCUGCCAGAUCUAAAAUGACCAUAAUGCCCUUGUUGUAUUUCGUUUCCAUUUAAUUUAAUGUUAUUAUUAUUAUUUUUAAUUUUUUUUAAAUGUAAACAUAUCAUUCCUACCAACCCCACCCCAUUUGUCCCUUCCCAAAUCUCCAUCUACCUCACACGAAUCCACUCCCCUGAAAGUAAAAAUCUAGCCACCGGUCCACCACCUUGCACCACCACCGGAAAAUAGAGCAGCACCACCGGAAAAUGGAAAACCAUUGAAAAUCUUCACCUCGUUUCUUUGCUUAUGUCUCAUACACAUGGAUCUACCUCACUAUAACUUCACCGAAAAGAACCCAAAAUUCUAGUCAAUCGUAAACCCUAAUCCUAAAUUCGCAUUAAAUUUAUUAGCUUUAACGAAACCAGUUCAAUCUUUUACCUGGCCAAUAGAGAAAAUUAAGAUCACUCCGAUCAAAUCUGAUUCCAUGACCGGGGAUCUUAUUAUUGAUCUUGAGAUAAAUUGAUUCAUCACUCUGGACACGAAGCACGAGCUCAUUUUUAGCCUUCUCCAAAUCCAUUUCAAAGUUUUGUUUGUAAAGAUAACCAUGAACACGUCAAUUGAAGCGUUAUGAAGGAGGAGACACAUCUGGUGACCGAUUGGAGGGAGAAGAAGAACAUGGGUUGUAACACAAAGCCUUGCCAACGUAUUUUCUUGCCACUUCAUCCACCACAUUAUCAACCUUGAUUUACAACAGAUAUACAUACGAUGAGGGAACGAUAUAUGAGCUUGAAAGUGGGGGCAGAAGACGAGGACUUCUAUGCUGCCAUCGUCGGACAAAGGAGGAAGAAAUAAUGUGGUCUCGCCGGAGAGUUACGUUUUGGGUGCUUGUCGGUAAUGGUAAGAACGAGGGAGACGAAAGAAACUGGGGAAAGGGAAAGGGGGAGGGUUUGGUAGAGAUAUAUUUUUCUUUUUUUUAAGUCUAAAAAUGAUUAACGAAUAAAAGAAAAUUAAAAAAAUAAAUUAUUAAGGGCAAACUUGACUUUUCAUGUCUAAAGGGAUGAAGUAUGCAAGUUUUAAACUAACAAGGGACGGUCCGAGUUAAAAUUUGAAAAUAGGGACUAAACACGCUUUCUGACAUAUGCACGAGGGACGAUUGGUGUAAUUUACCCUUAAAUCAAAGUUAACAUACGAGAUUUCCAAACUUGGCAUAAAUAGCCCCUUAAUACUAAAUUUUUGAUAACAACUUGAAACUUUUAGUUUUAUUACUUUUAAUUAUCCAUACUUUAUUUAAUCUAUUAAUAUCAAGUUUAAAUAUAUUUAUUUUAUUUUAUUCUAUAUUUCUAUAUAAAAAAAGUUAAUGUUAAUACUAAAAAACAUAAAAUUUUAGGCCCAAAAUAAGGAUGUUACAAAUUUACAACAUAAAGGAAUAGUUGUUUUCAUUAUAGAAUCUGAAAUGUUCAAGUCUGGAAUCGAGAAUGAUACUCUUGGAAUAUCGUUUUCAUGUAAAAAUGGUUAGUUUACAAAAACACAUAAUGUUCGUCUUUUUUUUCAAACAACAUUGUUCACGAUGGUUAGUUUUGUUAAUAUACAUAUAAAUGAUUAUACUAAUGUUUAAUAUAUUGUUGAAUAAAUAUUGAUUUAGCCUUAUCUUUAUUAAAAAAUAACUAUUGAUUUGUUAGUAUAAACUAGUUUUGGAGGGGUGUAGUACAAAGGGUGUGAAAAGGCGAUAUAAGAUCGGCAUGACGUAGGUGGACAUUUAGUAUCGGUGGGAACAUUGCACCACCUAACCAGUGUUGACCAAGUUGUUCCCCACGACAUGUAUUUUCUUGGAAUGAAAUGGUAUGUCUCUCUUUGGAGACAAGGAAGAUGAAAAAAAAUGAGCAUUUACAUAGUUUAGGGAUAAAUGAAAAGAUAGAGAAAAAACCCAAUGAGUAUAUGACAAUUGGUGUGUAAAAGAGAGGUUGUUAGGAAUGAAUGAGAUCGGAAAGAUGAACCUGUUUUAUGGCAUCUCUAACCCUAUUUUAUAAAUAAAAUAUGACAAAACUGCAAAAAUGGUCCCUGUGGUAUGCAUUUUUUUGGGGUCUUAGUUCAAACCAUGACUUUUUUGGCUUCGUGGUCCUUUUGACCUAGUUUUAUUGUGUUUUUGGUCACUCCUAAUUGUGAAAUGAUUGUAAUACCCUUAGGGUAUUUAUUUUCUAUUUUUAUUUCAUUUCUUUUUAAAUCUAAUACUAUUUUAUUUAUUUUAAUAAUUAAAAAAAUAAGAAUGGGACCCACCUCUCUCUCUCUCUCUUCCUCUCUCCCCCUCUCCACUAAGACUACUCCCAAGCUCCAAGUUCUUCUACUUGAACAAGAUCUGAUGUAACGUCCCAAAAAUACGAGCCAAAAAUUUCAUUUUUAAAACAUGUACUUAGCGAAACAUUAGAAAUAAACGUUCAACAAUUAUAUCAUUUCACAAAAGAUAGUGCAUGUCUGGAAAACAUUUUGAUAAAACAUAAAAGUAUCAGAGUACAAAUCCCCAGGAAGAUCUCAUGAUGCUGAAUACAAGCAUGUGUGUGAUGUACCGCUACCGCGCCAGCUCCUUCCCCUUCGAAGAAGAGGUACCUAAAACCAAAACUGAAAACUGUAAGCACGAAGCUUAGUGAGUUUCCCCCAACAUACCACAUACCAUACAUUCACAUAUCGAGCAUACUGUCGGGCAAUUCUGGGGUGCCCGACCUACCCGGUACGGCCAUUCUGGGGUGCCGACCUACCCGUGUCAAGCCGUUCUGGGGUGCUGACUACCCAUGUCAAGCCAUUCUGGGGUGCUGACUACCCAUCGGUCCUAACAACCGAUCCUCGGGGACUAUUUCACCCCCUACUGCUACUAGCACAUAUAUCAUAACAUAACAUAUUAUCAGACAUAUCUGGGGUGUCCGAUCUACCCUUCGGUCCUAACGACCGAACUUGGGGACUAUUCCCCUCCUACUACCACUAUCACAUAUAACAUAUCAUGCCAACAUAUAAACAUAUCAUCACAUACUGUCAGACAUAUCUGGGGUGUCUGACCUACCCUUCGGUCCUAACAACCGAACUCUACUACUAUCACAUAUACAUAUCAUGCCAGCAUAUAACAUAUCAGGUAGUAGCAAACCUAGAUGAUAUCACAAAGACAAUCAUCUAACAUACAACUCCUACUGGUGGGCCGGCAUUGUGGUCGUAGACCCACCGCUACUGGAAGGUAACUCACCUCAAAGUAGCUGCUGAUCUGCGCGGGAACUGACUGUCUGCUGAUGCUGCUGCCCCAGGAAUCCUCCGGCUAUAAUUCCCACGAAACACUCAGUCAAAUACUGCUAAUCGACCUCAGGGUAAAAUGACCUUUUACCCCUAAUCAAUCAAGAGUCCAAGUCAAAGUCAACUGCCAGUUGACCAGACUCGCUGAGUUGGCUUGCCAACUCGCCGAGUCCCUAUCCCCUUUUCUGACCAUAACCCCAUCUCUACUCGUCGAGUUAGGCAUUGACUCGACGAGUUUUCCUUCUAAACCAAAGUCCAAUAGUCCUUCAUCCUACUCGCCGAGUUGUAUGAACAACUCGCCGAGUUCAUCUUCAUCCGAAGAACACUCUAUGUUGUGACUCGCCGAGUUGUUCUUGAGGCAAGAAGAUUGCCUUGAACUCACCGAGUCAUGGCAUUGACUCACCGAGUUACUUCACGAGUGAGUCUAGCUUCAGACCCACUGAGUCCUAUCCCACGACUCACCACUCCACCCCGAAAACACGAAAAGGGGGAAAACUCAGGGACUCGCGACUCGACUCGCCGAGUCAGAUGAACGACUCACCAAGUCGGCCACAUGCAAAUACUAUACACGUGAUUCUGCUUGAAUCUAGCUCAUGCUAUUCAUAGAUCUGGGUUUCUAGGGCAUGAAUAACACGUAAAGUUUCCAACUUAACGUGUAAAUAAUCACCAAUAAAGGUUUUAGGGCUCAAAAUGCACCAAAAGAGUACAUCUAGGGCUUUCAUGCAAUAUGGAUCCAUAAAGGCAGUAGAUCUAAGCUCCUGGAGCUCAAUCACACCUAGAUCUAGAGGCUAGCAACUGAUUACAAACCAUAAGGCACAAUCAAGCUUGGGGAAAAACUCAAGAAGGACUUCCAUGGAGCUAAAAGGGACUAUAAGCAUGAAAACAAAGGGAAAACGAAUUAUACCUUAAGAAAAACACUGAGAUAGCUCAAGGAUGCCUGGCCUCCUCCUCUUCUUCUUGAUCUACUCUCCUUCCCUCUCCAAAUCUUCAAGAAAACACACCAAAAUGCUUCAAACUCACAAGGAACAAGGCUUGAACGAAGUAUAGAGCUCUGAGGGUGAAGGGAGCGAGCUUGGGGGCAGAUAAGAGGGUUUAAAUAGGGUGCAAACCCUUGAAAUUUAGGGUUUCAUCAGACAGCGGGGACUCGCCGAGUCGCCAACUUAAACGUGUUCCGGAUCCCGACUCUACUCGGCGAGUCGGACCUACAACUCGCCGAGUCCAAGGCUAAAAAUGAAAAACACUAAGAUAAAUUUUACAUACCAGGAACCAGGUGCUACAUCUGAGUUAUGAAUAAUACCUAAUUACUUCCUUAUCAUAACCCAUAAAUAGAUUUUCCACCUUUAACAAAACCUACAAACUAACUUCAUGUUCAAAUUCAACACACACAUGUAAAAAUGAAACCCACAUCAAUGGUGAUGGUGGUGACUUGCGAUGUUUCAGUUUUUCAUCUUCUCCAUCUAUAGAUUUCAGUUCCUAUUUUAACAUCCCCAUAUUAGAUUUCAGUCUAAUUUUAAUUUCGAUUUCAACGAUAAGGAGGUGGUGUAGGGCUCUCAAAAAAAACGAAGGCCCCUGAAUCGAAGACGACAUAUUUUAUUUCUUACCACUACCACAAUUAAUUGACCUUGAAUCGAUCUUAAACUUCCAUCGUUUGUUAAACCUCAAUGUGGAUUCAGCCAAUACGAUACCAAAUGAGGAGAAAUCAGGGAUAAAUUUGAAUAUAUAGCCAAGUCCAUCUUGUUUAUUGAACAUGGAUCAAAAACCUAGAAAUCCUUUCAAAAACCUAGAAAUUAUGUUAACCAAAUACCCAUAAAUGAUGUGUGUAUUCGAUUUCGAACAAUAAGAUGCAAACACUAGAGAAAUAAAGGAACAAAGCUUGCUCCAGUGGUGGCUGAGAAAUCCCGAGGAAGGGAGCACACAGUUCAAAUAAACACACAGUUCAAAUAAACACCUAUAGGUUGCGAGCCUGCUAGUGUUCCACUGGACUGUCUAGAAUAGUCCAUGGUCGUCAUCUAUACUCCGCUAGAUGACUGGAUCAUCAAUAACAUCUAUAACAAGGCCUCUCAUUGUUUUAUUUUGUCACACAGCAACUAUUACAUCUACCCAUGUUUUACCCAACACAUUUUGUAGAUAUAAAAUACAUAUACAAUUUAAAUCAUUGAAAACAUGUAUAAAACGUUCAUCCAGCAUAGAUAGCAAGUAUUCAGAUAAUAUGCACACAUAGCACGUAAUUUAUAUAAAAUACUUCAUAUCUAUGUGUAAGCUGAAAGUAACUAUGCACUCACUUGAAAGGUGGUGACUCAGCACUCGGACAGCGCUUCGAUACUCUCAAAACGAUAUUCCUUCGAUAAAACCUAGUAUCAAUACCACUAGGGUUUAGUCUAACGAUAACCGCGACAAAUUAAUUAGUCUGAGUAUUAUUAAGUGUUAAUAAUACUCGAUAUAACUCAUAAUAAUAGCCCAAAUAAUUAUUUUAAGGACCUAAUAACAUACCUAUAAUUAUUUGAAAGCUAUAUUAAAAAAUGCGUAAGCGUAGCACACUUACAGCGAAUUUUAUCGAAAACCUGAACUUAAUUGGAGCAGCGGUUCGAAACCGAAAAACUCCUUUUUCCCGGGACUCCGGGAGCCUCGGGGCUUCCCUAGGGUGCUAGGGGGUUUUUCCUAGGGUUUAGGGGGUUAAAAUGGGCUAGAGAGAGUGAGUUUUGGUGUGAAAAUGAGGGCUGCCUUCGGACCCCUUUUAUAGGCGCGAAGCUCGGACAUUACGUCGGGCGUACCGAGGAGCUACGCUGGGCGUAGUCUUGGAUAUGGUUGCCAGCUCGCACCAGCUGGCUCGCACUCCGACUCGGAAGGGAUAAGAGCGAAGGUACGCGGGGCGUACAGACUUCGGAUGCGGGGCGUAAGCGAGGGGUGGCAUGUCGCAAUCCGAAGCGACUUCUGAGACAUCAUCGGACGGUUGUGGUGCUGCCACGUCAUCGAAUUUGCAACAGNAUCGAAUUUGAACAGACUUCGCAAUUUCGAGUUACAACUUCAAAAAUUCGUAACUUUCGCGUACGACCUCGGUUUUCGACGUUCUUUAUAACCACGCGAAGGUGGGAACGUACUCUACAACUUUCGUUUAGACUCCGUCGGCUAAUUUUGGCUCGAUUUUAAAUUUUAUAUUAUUAACGGGCCGGGACACGAUUGGUCCGUUAAAUCCUCAUAACUUCUUCAUCCGACAUCCGUUUUCACCCAUCUUUUUCUCGUUACGCUACCCUUAACGAGAUCUUCGAUUCUCNNNNNNNNNNNNNNNNNNNNNNNNNNNNNNNNNNNNNNNNNNNNNNNNNNNNNNNNNNNNNNNNNNNNNNNNNNNNNNNNNNNNNNNNNNNNNNNNNNNNNNNNNNNNNNNNNNNNNNNNNNNNNNNNNNNNNNNNNNNNNNNNNNNNNNNNNNNNNNNNNNNNNNNNNNNNNNNNNNNNNNNNNNNNNNNNNNNNNNNNNNNNNNNNNNNNNNNNNNNNNNNNNNNNNNNNNNNNNNNNNNNNNNNNNNNNNNNNNNNNNNNNNNNNNNNNNNNNNNNNNNNNNNNNNNNNNNNNNNNNNNNNNNNNNNNNNNNNNNNNNNNNNNNNNNNNNNNNNNNNNNNNNNNNNNNNNNNNNNNNNNNNNNNNNNNNNNNNNNNNNNNNNNNNNNNNNNNNNNNNNNNNNNNNNNNNNNNNNNNNNNNNNNNNNNNNNNNNNNNNNNNNNNNNNNNNNNNNNNNNNNNNNNNNNNNNNNNNNNNNNNNNNNNNNNNNNNNNNNNNNNNNNNNNNNNNNNNNNNNNNNNNNNNNNNNNNNNNNNNNNNNNNNNNNNNNNNNNNNNNNNNNNNNNNNNNNNNNNNNNNNNNNNNNNNNNNNNNNNNNNNNNNNNNNNNNNNNNNNNNNNNNNNNNNNNNNNNNNNNNNNNNNNNNNNNNNNNNNNNNNNNNNNNNNNNNNNNNNNNNNNNNNNNNNNNNNNNNNNNNNNNNNNNNNNNNNNNNNNNNNNNNNNNNNNNNNNNNNNNNNNNNNNNNNNNNNNNNNNNNNNNNNNNNNNNNNNNNNNNNNNNNNNNNNNNNNNNNNNNNNNNNNNNNNNNNNNNNNNNNNNNNNNNNNNNNNNNNNNNNNNNNNNNNNNNNNNNNNNNNNNNNNNNNNNNNNNNNNNNNNNNNNNNNNNNNNNNNNNNNNNNNNNNNNNNNNNNNNNNNNNNNNNNNNNNNNNNNNNNNNNNNNNNNNNNNNNNNNNNNNNNNNNNNNNNNNNNNNNNNNNNNNNNNNNNNNNNNNNNNNNNNNNNNNNNNNNNNNNNNNAGAUUGACUUUCCGACUGAGAGCAUCAGCAACAAUAUUUGCUUUACCUGGGUGGUAAAGUAUCUCACAGUCGUAGUCCUUGAGAAGUUCUAGCCAGCGUCGUUGCCUCAUGUUCAACUCCUUCUGAUUAAAGAGAUAUAGAAGACUCUUAUGAUCAGUGAAGAGCUUGCACUUCGUGUCGUAGAGGUAAUGCCUCCAUAUCUUCAAGGCAAAUACUACCGCUGCCAAAUCCAGAUCAUGAGUGGGGUAGUUCUUUUCGUGCUCUUUCAAUUGUCGAGAUGUGUAUGCUAUCACCUUUUCUCUCUGGGUUAGAACACAACCCAACUUGACUCCAGAUGCAUCACUAUAAACCGCAAAGUCUUCAACUCCAUCGGGUAGAGAAAGUAUCGGUGCUUCGCAUAACUUCUUCUUUAGCUUCUCGAAUGCCUCAUCGUGUUUCUCACUCCACGUAUACGUAGCUCCUUUAUGGGUCAAAGCUGUUAAUGGAGCAGCUAUCGAAGAAAAGCCUUGGAUAAAUCGUCGAUAAUAUCCGGCUAAUCCUAGAAAGCUUCGGAUCUCCGUGGGACUCUUUGGACGUUCCCACUUCAUUACAGCCUCGAUCUUUGCGGGGUCAACCAUUAUCCCUUCCUGGUUAACCACGUGACCCAAGAACUGGACCUCUCGUAUCCAAAAGUCGCAUUUUGAGAACUUAGCGUAAAGCUUCUCCUUCUUUAAUACUUCCAACACUUCUCGUAGAUGCUUGCCAUGCUCCUCCUGGCUUUUCGAGUAGAUGAGAAUGUCUUCGAUGAACACCAUCACGAAUUUAUCGAGGAAUGGUUUACAAACCCUAUUCAUCAAAUCCAUGAAUGCUGCUGGAGCAUUGGUUAGUCCAAACGACAUAACCAAGAACUCGUAGUGUCCAUAUCUCGUUCUGAACGCAGUCUUCUUGAUAUCCUGAUCUCUCACUUUCAGCUGACGAUAUCCUGACCUAAGAUCGAUUUUUGAGAAGUAGCUCGAACCUUGCAGCUGAUCGAAUAGGUCAUCAAUCCUCGGCAAUGGAUACUUGUUCUUCACCGUUUGCUUAUUCAGCUCUCGGUAGUCUAUACACAUUCUCAUACUUCCGUCCUUCUUCUUCACGAAUAACACCGGAGCUCCCCAGGGUGAUGAACUAGGUCGAAUAAAACCGUUGUCCAACAGCUCCUGAAGUUGCGUCAUGAGCUCCUUCAUCUCCGUCGGUGCUAAUCGGUAAGGUGCCUUUGCUAUUGGUGUUGUUCCUGGUAACAAGUCUAUACGAAACUCCACUUGUCUAUCAGGUGGUAAUCCGGGAAGAUCUUCGGGAAAGACUUCCGGAUAAUCACACACAACCGGUAUAUUCUGCACCUCUUUCUUCUCCUUCUUAGCAUCGAUUACGAAUGCCAAGUACGAUGCACAUCCUUUGGACAAACAUUUCCUGGCUUUCAUCAGGGAGAUGAUUCCAGAAUUCACUCUGCGUUUGUCCCCAUACACCAUAAAUGAUUCCUUUCCGGGUGGGUUUACCCUUACUAUCUUCUUUCGGCAUUGAAUCUCAGCAUCGUUGGCGCUAAGCCAAUCCAUACCCAAAACGAUGUCGAAACCGUUUAACUCUAUGGGUAAUAGCUCUUCGUGGAAUUCGUUUCCGUUUAGGUCAAUGACGAUGUUCCUAAUACGAUUACUAACAGGUACGAAUUUGCCACUGGCAACUUCUACAAUCAGGGCAUUAUCUAGUUUUUCUACAGGCAAUGCUAAUUUCCCACCAAAUUUAUGCGACACAAAGGAGUAGUUGGCUCCGGAAUCAAAUAGUAUAUUUGCAGGCAAACCAUUUACAAGAAAGGUACCUGAAGCGACGUCUGCUGCCUCCUUUGCAGCCUCGAGCGUCAUCUGGAAGGCUCUCGCCUUCGGCUUCGGUGGUAUGUUGGGUCUUCCUGUCUCCUUCUUCUUCGGGCAGUCCUUCAAAAUGUGCCCUUCUUCAUUGCACCCAUAACAGGCUUUCUGGUUGAGGGUGCAUUCAUUGGCGUAGUGCCCAGGCUUUCCGCACUUGUAACAAGUGACCCCUCCGUCACACUUCCCAGAGUGCUUCUUCUUGCACUUGUCACACCACUUCGCUUCUGAUCCUCCUCCCCUCGAACCAGACUUCGAGAAUCUACUCUUCUUGUUGGACUUCGAGGAUCCAUUGAACUUCCGUUUCUCACCAACCUCAGCCCUCUCCAGACCUCUUUCCUUUUGUUGGGUCUCCACGUUCUUAGCUGCUCGAACAGCUGAUUUCAGAGUGGUUGCCAUCUUGACUGUUGGGCCAAAGUCAGCCGGCAGUCCGUUUGCGAAUUUCUCAAUUUUGGAAAGUUCGGUUGGCACUAGGUAUGGAAACAACUUCAUCUUUUCCGUAAAUGCAGCAGCAUAGUCAUCGAUGCUCAUUCUCCCCUUCUUCAAAUUUUGGAACUCAUUGUUCAGAUCAAUCAGGUCUAUCUCUGAACAGUACUGCGCCUUCAGUUGUUCCAAGAACUCAUCCCAUGACAUUUUCAGAGCUUCUCCCCGUGGCAUUGUAUCUGCCAAUAGCUUCCACCAGCUCAAGACUCCAGUUUUCAAUUGUCUCACAGCGAAGACAGUCUUCUGCUUCUCGCUGCAGUCGCAGCUCUCAAACACCAUCUCCAUCUCGGAGAUCCAGUCCAUAAUCUCAACAGGCUUUGGGCUUCCUGAGAGACUUGGUGGUUUCGCACCCAAGAAAUUUUUGUACAUCCGCCCAUCCUUGUUGUUUCUCCCUUCUGGGCCAUCCUUUUGCUCACCUUGAGUCCCUACUUGACUCACUUGGCGGCUAUAGUUCCCUUCCUCAGAUGGCUCGGGAACUGGCUCCGUCGGUUCAACAUGUAUGGUAGGUUCGUCCCUAUUUUCGUGGAGCAUCCGUCUCAUUUCUUCCCUUUGUUCAGCUAGCAUAGCCUGAAUCAUGGCUUGAACUCCAGCCAUGGUGACUGGCUCAGGUGCAACUUCUUCAACAACAGGUAUUUGCUGAACCACUGGGGGUUGGUUCCUACCUCCAUUUGCGUUCACGUUUCCGCUACGGGUCCUUGCCAUCUUGAUCUAUACACCGAAUAAGGUGAAUUUAGAUCUUUAUUUAGGAUAGACGUUUUAAAUCGUCCUUAUCACUCCGAAACGUUUACAUGCUAGUUCUAAUAUCGUAGUCGUACGUUUAGAAUCCUAAACACAUAAGGUUUCCAGAUCCGGUCGGCAACAGACCAUAGAUCCGAACAAAUAAUAGCAUAUCAGGCACAAAGCAUUUAGCACAUAAAAGCAUUUUAGGCAUAAUUCCUAAAAUAAUCUAGUGCUCACACCUCACAGUCAUCGCUUAGCAUUCUAAGUUUAAGUCUAGAAAUAAUCCAUAUUCCUAGUUCGCUUAAACUAAUGCUCUGAUACCAACUGUGACAUCCCCAAAAUCACGGCCAGAAAAGACCGGUUUGUUUAUGCUUUGUUUAAAAAUCAGAGUAACAUUUUAAAUAAAAGUGUUGCGGAAUUUGUCCCAAAACGAAAUAUGAUAAAGAUUUAUCAAAAGCAUUUCCAUAGAAAUGUAUUUCAUUAAAAGACUCGGGAUGUCAUGUUCGUACAGAUCAAAAGCAUGAACAGUAUAAUAUAAGCCUUACUACAUUAUUUCAUAUCUACAGGCCUAUAUCCGUAAUCCCUCAUCAAAACAUCAUAUAUAUGCUCAAGCGCCACUACCUGUAAUACAUAAAACUGAGUGGGUCAGGCUUGGGAGCCUGGUGAGCACAUAGGGUUUUCAACCUACAAUAAAUAAGUUUAUUAUCUUCAUUAAAUUAAACAAACCCGAUUACCCGUUCCCAUUAUCCUCACAUUACGUCCCUAAGCAUCUAUCAUAAGGGACCUAUCCUAAGGAUUAUCAUUGGGACGGACACUACUGCUAAGGGGAUUCCUCAACAAUAAAUGUCCUUAAGGCAACCAUGUGGGGGAUGGAGUACAUCUGGUGAGCACACAGUUCAAAUAAACACACGGUUCAAAUAAACACCUACAGGUUGCGAGCCUGCUAGUGUUCCACUUGACUGUCUAGAAUAGUCCGUGGUCGUCAUCUAUACUCCGCUAGAUGACUGGAUCAUCAAUAACAUCUAUAACGAGGCCUCUCAUUGUUUUAUUUUGUCAUACAGCAACUAUUACAUCUACCCAUGUUUUACCCAACACAUUUCUGGUAUCGUGCCAGUUCUGUCGCGAAACUUCGACGGGUCAUAACUUCUUCGUUAUAACUCGGAUUUCGGCGUUCCUUAUAUGUACGAAAACCUUGAGACAUAUUCUACAACUUGAUGUAGAGAUAUCGGGCUUAUCUCACACUUUAAUUUUGACGCUCAUUUUUUUAUUCUUUAUUAAUUAUACAUUUAUAAUUAAAUAGUAAGCACAUAAACACACAUAAUUCACAUAAUACUCAAAUAUUCAUCUUUAUUACUUCAAAAAGAGUUACAAGAGUUGACAUAGACUAUUACAUUGACAAAAAUGCUUAGCCCUGAAACCCGGGCGUUACAGCAGUCGAUCUCUGGCGAGACCUCCUUAGUUCAUUUGCUUUGGCGCUAGUAGCAACACACGAAGGGGGAGGAGCAAAGCAGUCGCCAAUCAGGGUGGUGUUUUUGGAUCUAUUAUGGACGACAGAAGGGAGUGAAGAAGAAAGAGAGGCAGCUGUUGGUGGCUGUCAUCGCCGAUAAUGGUGGGGAGAGGGGCUCCUCUGGUAGCUCCUCGUUUUUUCUUCUUUUCUGAUUCGACAGAAAACAUUGCAGACAAGGGUUAGGAGAGCAUGAUGAUCUUUAGGGGUGUUUGGGUGGUGUUGCUCGGUCGGAGAAGGAAGGAGAAGGUAGCUCCGGUGGCCGACAACCUCUUCCUUGGCCGGUGAUGAAGAAAAACGGGAAGGAAUGACUGAAGGGAGGAAGGAAGAGAGAGAGAGAGAGAGAGAAAGAGAAAGGGGGCAGGUGGGUCCCAUUCUUGAUUUGAUUUAACAUUGAUAUUUAAAUAAAAGAAAAAAACAAUUAAGUAAAUGGAAAAAAACAAAUUAAAAGGGCAAAGGCGUCUUUUUAAGUUUAUCGGGACUGAUUUUACAAUGAAACUAACUCAAAAGGACCACUAAUCCAAAAAAACUCGUGGUUUGGAUCAAAACCCCAAAAAAAUGCAUACCACAGGCACCAUUUUUGCAAUUUUGUCAUAAAAUAUUGACAAAACUUCAUAAAUGAUCCUUAUGGUAUCCCGAAAUCUGAAGUUUGGUCCCUAAGUUUAAAAAACCUCACUAUGGUACCUGUGGUUUCAAAAUGUUUGAUGUUUGGUCCUUAUUGCUAACGUUGUCAUCUUUUGUCAGCUAACUAAAGAGCAUUUUCGUCAUUUCACUACACAUGGACCAUUUAUGAAGUUUUGCCUUAUUAAAAAAAUAAUAAAUAAUAAAUAAUAAAUAAUUAUUUGAUAUAAAAGGCUCCUUCCAUUGCCUCUACAGGGACCAAGAAGUUUCGUCAUUUCACUACCACAAGGGUCAUUUUCGUCAUUUCACUAUCAUGGGGACCAAGAAGUUAUAUGAGAGGUUUUUUUUACUUUUAGGGAGGCGGAGGUUUUGGAGAGAGAGAGAGAGAGAGAGAGAGAGAGAGAGAGAGAGAGAGAGAAGAGUUUCUUUUACGGUUGAGAGAUUUUUUUAAAUAAGGCAAAACUUCAUAAAUGAUCCUUAUGCCAGUAAAAUGAUGAAAAAUACACUUCAGAUAACGGACAAAAGAUGACGGAGUUGGCAAUAAGGAUCAAAUAUCAAAAGUUUUGAAUCCACAUGGACUAUCUGUGGGGUUUUUAAAACUUAGAGACUAAACUUCAGAUAGAUUUUGAGAUACUACAAUGACUUUUUAUGAAAUUUUGUCCAAAAUAUAUUUAUUUAUAAAGUUAAAAUAAAACAAUUAUCUUUCAAACUCAUUCUAUUUUUAGAAUACUUUAGUUAGUUGUAAGCCUACAAACAGAGCUGUUAAUAAUAUCAUCACAAAUCUAGAGUAACAGUAUUAAUUUACUUCAUAUCAUCCCAAAUCUAGAGUAGCACUAUUAAUUUACUUCAUAAAUAGAAAUUAAAUUUCAUUUAUCAUAUUUGGCUCUUUAAAUUUGAGUUUGUAUAUAUCUAGUAUUUAACUUGCUCCAUUUUUAAGUUUAUUUAAUUAUAUUGUUAUAUUUAUUGUUAUAUAUUAAUAUGAUAAUUGUUUCAAAAUGUAUUUUAAAUUUAAUACGUUUUAAUAAUUUAUAACAUGAUAUCAUAAUUAAUAAAUCUUCAAAUGACCAUAUAGAAUAAAUAUUAUAAUAUUAAUAUCCUAAUAUUACAUUACCAUUAAUCGAAUAACAUAAAUUUUAACGUUAAUAUAACAAAAAAAAUAGACAAAAUUGUAUGAACCUUAUAAAUUUAUACAUUAUUUAUGAAAUUUUGACAAGUUAGAGAAAAUAAAUAUUAUUUGGAAUUCUUUUUUAAUGUAAAAGAUAAAAUGUAAAAUAAAAUAGUGUUUGGAGAAUCAUGUUUAACUCUAUUUUAAGAUUAACAGAUAGAAUGUGUUUUGGAGAAUCAUGUUAACUCUAGUUUACGUUUAACAGACCGGUGAGCAUUGCAGUGCUCUGGUGGUCUACUAUGGAUAGUCUUACUGCCUACCUGGGCACCUCAAUACCAAAACCCUAGAUUUCUAUUUGUCACUGCUUUGGGAGUAAACGCUGCGUACCAGGUAUCGUUCUCUGCUCAAUUAUAUACUCAUUGUCCCAUUUAAUCGUCUUACUCCUCUUUACACCCUGAUAAUGAUAUACUGUUAAAUUUUUUUUAUUACUGUAGAUCUCUAUCACAAGCGAUCGUUUGUUCCUUAAGCAAUGGGGCUGGUGAGUUAUUCGUUUGUUGCUGUAUCAGUUUUUUAUAUAUUUGACGCUUUAUCGUACGAAUGAGGGUUUCGAUGUGCAAUCUUCGUGGAUCGUUUUGUUUCGUUUACUGAUUUUAACUUUUUUUUUGUUCGUUAUAUGAAAAAACUCGCUGGAACUUUAUUGUAUAUCUCUGCCACUAGAAUUUUCAGAUAUUCAUGCUGUUUUGUGUCAUCAAUCGGCUGUGUAGUUAUAGUGAUGUACUAAAUCUUCUUGUCGAUUUGGAUGAUUUUGUUUCAUAAUCAACUAGAAAUGUUAGAUGUUAAUCAUGCACUUAAUCUUCUAUUUGUUUAUGUUCUGGAUGAGACCUAAUUUUUAUGAUUCAUUCAUCCAAUUCAAUUGUUGAAACUUGAAACAGCUGUUAUUGUUGCUUUACUAUUAUAAAGUGUGAGGUUUAUUGUUUGUUUGCGAUCAUUUGAUACUUACAUUCUUGUAUCCUGUUGCAGAUUAUGCAUGCAGGGUCAAACAACAAGAACGUUUACAAGACAUUAAUUGUGGCAGAAUAUGUUGGUGUUGAGAUCAAAAUGGCUGAAAACUUUCAGAUGGGUGUGUCAAAUAAAACUCCUGAAUUUCUUAAAAUGAACCCUAUUGGAAAGGUAUUGUUUUCCUGAUUUAUAAUCUGAUUAAAACUUUUUACAAAAUUCAAAAUUUUAUUUUUAGUUUUACAUGAUAUGAUUCAUCAUUGAUGCAGGUCCCUGUUCUUGAGACUCCUGAGGGCCCUAUAUUUGAGAGUAAUGCAAUUGCUCGAUAUGGUGAUGAACCAAAAAGCCAUUAUUGAGUUGUUUCUAAUCUUCUUCUGUUUUUGAGUAAUUGGCUUACUUUGUUAUGUUUUAUGCUGCAGUUGCUCGUUUGAAACCUGGAAAUUCUCUUUUUGGUUCUUCCCCAAUAGAAUAUGUAAGUUUUUUUCUUUGUGAUUUGUCUAAUUAUGAAGGAAUAGUGAUACUUAUAACAAAGCUUACCUAUUCUUAUUAAAAUAUUUUAUACAGGGCCAAAUUGAACAGUGGAUCGAGUUUUCUACAUUGGAGCUUGAUGCAAAUAUGAGGGGAUGGGCCUUGCCAAUAUUUGAACAUGCCACCUACAUCAAAUCUGUUAGUUACUCGUGCUCUUGUUUUUGGUUUUGCUUUCUUUUAUCAAUUUAAAAGUUUUUUUUUUCCUCUUUUGCAUGUGUUUUGUGAAAUUGUCAAAAUGAUAAUUUUGUGUGCAUGUUGUGAAGGCUGAAGAGAGAUAUAUUGCUGCUGUGAAGAGAGGUCUCGGUGCUUUAAACACACAUCUUGCUUCACAUACAUUCUUGGUUGGUGAUUGUGUUACUUUGGCUGACAUCAUCAUGACAUGCAACUUUGCGAUGUGUUUUAAAUAUUUGUUUACAAAAAGUUUCACAUCUGAGUUUCCUCAUGUUGAGAGGUAUUUCUGGACCAUGGUUAAUCAACCAAAUGUCAGUAAGAUACUUGGAGAAAUCAAACAAGCAGAAGUUCUUCCUCCCAUUCCUUCAGCCAAGAAACCAGAAACCAAACCAAAAUCCGAGCCUAAAAAGGAAGUCAAGAAAGAACAAACCCCCAUGCCCAAGCCUGAAUCCGAAGCUGCCAUAGAGGAGGAAGAGGCACCCAAGCCUAAGGCAAAGAAUCCUCUUGAUUUAUUGCCUCCAAGUCCAAUGGUUUUGGAUGACUGGAAAAGGCUUUACUCUAACACCAAAACUAACUUCCGUGAGGUUGCAAUCAAAGGUAUUUUCUUUUUUGACCUUUUUUUUUUUAAAUAUAUCCUCUUCUCAGACAACAGUUGGCUGAUAUAUUUGUUGAUUUUGUUGCAGGUUUUUGGGAUAUGUAUGAUCCAGAGGGAUACUCUCUGUGGUUUUGCAACUACAAGUACAAUGAUGAGAACACUGUCUCAUUUGUGACAAUGAAUAAGGUUGGUGGAUUCCUUCAGCGAAUGGAUCUUGCAAGGAAAUAUGCUUUUGGAAAGAUGUUGAUUAUUGGAAACGAGCCUCCAUUCAAGGUCAAGGGUUUGUGGCUUUUCCGUGGGACUGAAAUCCCAAAAUUUGUGAUGGAUGAGUGUUAUGACAUGGAGCUUUACGAGUGGACCAAGGUUGACCUUUCUGACGAGGCACAAAAGGAGCGUGUGAAUCAGAUGAUUGAAGAUUUUGAGCCUUUUGAGGGUGAAACUCUCUUGGACACCAAGUGCUUCAAAUGAAGGGAAAGUGUUGAUAGACAGAUACCUAUCUUGAUCCAUCUGGUAUUGUUUGUGUAAAACAAAGACCAUAAUAUAGUGAUAUGCAAAGUUCAAGGUGUCCCACAAGCAUGUUUGGCAAUUUUUACGACUACAAAAGAUGUGCUAUAUUGUAAUAUCGAUAUAGUAAGCAAAAUGUGAAAUGAAAAGCAACUAGCAACCCAUUUAAUGCUAUGCAUUUCAAGUAAGAAAGCAAAAGGUGAAUGUAAAGCAAGACAUUUUGUUGUAGCCCUAAAAAUACUUUGACGUUAAUGUUACCAAGUGUAGCAUGUGUAAUAUAUAUUAGUCUAUGCGAUUGAUUUGUGUGACCAACAUCAAUAAUUUUAGACUCAAAGUUGAAGCUCCAGAACUGGUAUUUCCUCUUGUAAUUAGGCUCAUUUAGUAGCGUUGAGGAAAGAAACUUUUGUAAUCAUACGCUUAAUGCACCGGCUUAAAGCUCCAUUGGUCAAGAUGCUUACAACUGGUACCUGUUAAUGGCUGAGUUCCAUGAUUUUGGGUCUAGAUUGAUGCGACUCUCUCAAAGUUUAAAAAACUUUAUAGAAAAUUUUCAGGCAUUGUUGUGUGUAAUUGUAUAUGCACAAGCGAGUAAUUUAUUUUUCACGAGUGUUAGCAUUAUCUAGUCACACUUCGUAACAUACGAUUUUAGGUAGAGUUGUCUGUAGAAAAAAAAAUGACCAUCAAGGCAUACGUCCAUGUAAUGCUCUUGUCUUAUGUAUGUUGUGGCCAUGACAAUGAAGAGUCGUGGUUUCAUGUUAAAGGAUACAAACUGUAUUUUCAACACGAGAAGAUUGCAUUACAUUAAUAAGAUUUUGAGUUUUAUUUUGUAUUGGAUAUUAUAGACCAACUAGCUAGAUAACUCCAAUUAGUUGGUCUAUAAAUUAUGUAUUUCCUUUUCAUUUCAUCUGAUAAUAAUAUAAAACCCUAAUCGUUCUAUAUCUUUUAUUUUAUUUUGUUCACAUUCAUUUUGAGAGAUACGCAUAGAUGCAGAUGAUAUUGAGAAAUUAAAUAUCCUCUUACUUUUUGUUCCUACAUAUCUUCUACCCAAUAAAAUGUAACAUUUAAUGUUAAUUUAAUGAUUUCUAAUGAUAUUUUAGGAUACUAAUAUGACACAUGUCAUCAUUUAAAUGGGUAGGAGUAUUAAUAUGAACAAAUGAUAGGUGGAUAUUUAAUUUCUCGAUGAUAUUAGCCGGUUUACCUUUUGCAUUCCUUCCGUCCCAUUAGAUGAUAAAUAUCGACUAACAUGCAAACAUUUUGCAAAUUUAGGCAACAUUCAUUGGUUUUUACUAAAAAGUACCACAAGUUAUUAAAUACUACAUUUAUAUUAUCUAAAAAUAAAUGUUUUUUUUAUUUGUAAAUUUUCAUCAUGGUUUUAAUCUUACAGUAAUACAAGAUCCUCUACCAAACAAUAAAGAAUAAAUUACAAGUACAUUUAGAUAGUACCCUUUAUCACACAAAGAGAAUAAAAGAAGAUUAUAGUAAUAUAAUAUCCGAUGUGAAACAAAAAGAGCAUAAUAACAUCACAACAAAAUAAUACUAUCUACCACACAAACAAAAUACAAUACGAUUACUGUAAGAAAUACCCUAUGUCAUAUGGAAUGAAAACAAUAAGAUUUCAAUAAGACAAGUACUUUAUAAGACAAAGAUAAUACUAUAAGACUAUAGUUGGAUUCAAUCAUAUAUCAAUAACAAAGAGAAGAUAGUAAGAUAAUAUUCUUUUUUCUCCGUUAACAAAAUCAAUGACUUUAUUGUUAAUUAGUCCAUAAUAUAAGGACUUUUUUGAAGAUUACUAUCUAAAAUCCUAAAGUUAUAAACGAUUGUUGGUUUCUUGUCAUUUCAUGUAAAUAAUUGAUUGGUUUUGUUUGACCAUUACAAAUUUUAAUUUAAUAUUUGGAAAUCAAAAUGAAAAAAAUAAUUACUCAAAAUAAUAAAACUUUAAAGGUGAUAUAUAAUAAAAGGAAAUCUUUAAUAAAGUCUCAAUAUUUUGAACCAAUUUACAAUUUUGUCCAAUCUUUUAUUUUCUGAACAUAAAAGUUUCGAUUAUUUUAUAUUUUACUCAAACUAACGAAACAAUCCUUAUUUUUUUACAACAGAAAAUGACAAAUUAUCGUAUAAAAUUAGAUAAUCAGGACUUUUCUAUUCAAAAAGUAAAUGUUAUGAUUAAACCGUAAACAGACCCAAAAUAUUGAGGCUUUAUCGGAAAUUUCCUUAUAAUAAAUGAAUAAAAUUGAAACAUUAUUAAACAAAAAGAGUUAAUUCUACAGAACAUAAAACUAAAAUAAGUGAGUAGGAUAAAAAUGGUUGAUAGUAUUGACCCAAAAAUAAUUGACUAUAAUAAUAAAAAAAAAAAAAAACACUUUUUAGGUGAUUUUUAAUAUUCAGUAAAAAAAACUUUCAAUGGAGAUGAUAAGUUAGAACAAAUCAUUUUAAUUCAUUUUAAGGUUAUUUUGAGUAAUUAUUUUGACCAAAUGCAGCGAACGGGUCGCAGGUCAACCCACAACACAUGUAUUGAUCUCUAAAGUACAAGAUCAUGCCAAAUACAUUAAAAAAAACUACAAUACCAAAAAGUGUAGUUCGAUUGUCAAACAACAAUUGUUCAUAAAUUGAUGAAUUCAAACACGCCACGAUCAUUGAUACUGAACUCGCAAUCACUUAGCAUAUAAAAUUUGCUAUCAUUAACAAGAGCAUGAUAAUUUUUUUACAAUAUCAAAUAAUGAUGUUUAAUGUCAUGUAAUAGACUAAUAAUAAAGUAAAUUUACUACAUUAAGUUAAUUUAUAUAGAAAUAAGAAAAAUGUAACAUUGCAUUUGAAAAGUCAAACAUGUUUUCUAAAGGGAUAAUAACUUAAAACUCCCAUAGUCUUCAUCCAAGAAAAGUAACGAGUCCCGUUCGGUGGAAGGGCUCUCUAUGGCUAACUGGCUCGGAGGUAUUAUAUAUAUAUAUAUAUAUAUAUAGUCAUUUAUGUUUUUUUUAUAUAUUUAAUCACUUAUCUUUUUUAUUUUGUACACAUAUAACCAUUACAUUUAAUGAUCAUAUAUGUACAAAAUAAAAAACAUUAGUUACCCUUUAAAGCAUUAUCCUUUUUCUCUGUAUCAUCGUAAUCAAAUUCUUCUUCCAAUUCUUAUUUAAUCACCUAAAAGUUUGUCUUAUUAAUUCAUUCAUAGUAAACUAGUUUUUUAUAACGGCUUUAAGACAACAAUUUAAUCGGUUUAUUGCGUAACAGGUCGGUCCAAUCCAAUUUGUAAAUAACAAAAGGGAUUUAAAGCCAAAAACAAUAUUUUCUAAGACAAAAAUGUGAAAUGAUUUAAUUAUAAAAAAUAUUCUUUAUAACUCAUAUAUUUUAUAUUUUUUAAUAAGAAAUAUUCUCUAUAAUUAAUGAAUUAAAUAGUAAUAUUCACCUAUAUAUGUAUGGUACAUGUUUAUAAAAUCUGAUAACCAAAUAUCACUCUUAAAUGACCGUUAUUUUUUACCGUUCAAUAUCCAACUGGUCGACCAACCUGGUUAACCCGGGUUUUAAAACAUUGUCUUAACUCUUAACCCUAACAAAGUUCGUCUCACUCUCUUUAAACACUGAUACACUCUUGGAUUUUCUUUGUUACUCUAGAUCGAUAUCAAAAGGCGGAUCAUUCCUUUGUUCCUCUUGUCAUUUAAGCAAUGGUGCUGGUGAGUUUUUGUUGCUUUGUGUUAGUUUUAAUUAGUUGAUGCUUUUCUUAAGUGGAGUUUGUUAUGAAUCUCUUGUUUUAUAUACAAAUCGUACAGAUGUGGGUUUUGAUGUGCAUUUUUCGUAGAUUGUUUUGUUUAGUUUACUGAUUUUAACUUUCUCCCUCUUUUUCGUGAUUUGAAGAACUCACCAGGACUCCAAUCAUUCACUUCAGCUACUCUAAUCUUCGACAUUGCUGUGUUUUGCCUUUUGUGUAAUCAAUCGAUCAUGCUUUGGCUCUGUAGUUAUAGUCGUGCUGGGCAACGGGUCCAAACGGGUUAGGGUUUAGAACAUUUAGAAUAUGUCGGAGCUUAAGCAAUAUGUUUCUAUUUAGCAUGAUUAUUUGCUCUAUUCUGAAUGUUAUUUGUGGUUAUAUCAGCAUUUUCAACCUUAUGUUCUCUAUUCUGGUACGCACUUAAUUUUCUGUUUUGUUGAAGUUAUUUUAAUUGUUAAAACUUCUGUUGUUGUUGUUGUUGUUGUUGUUGUUGUUGGCUUUAUCUUUAUGCUACUUUGUGGGGUAGAAUAGAUGUCUUAGCUUUUGAUAUAUGAGAUGUGAGGCUCUAUUGUUGGUUUGAGAUCCUUUGAUAUUUAUAUUCUUGAGUCAACUGAUUCCUUUCCAUUUGAUGUAUUGUGCUUGUUACAGAUUAUACAUUCAGAAUUAAACAAGAAUGUUUGCAAGGCAUUAAUUGCUGCAGAAUAUGUUGAUGUUGAAGUCAAAAUGGCUGAAAAUUUUCAAAUGGGCAAGUCAAAUAAGACUCCUGAGUUUCUUAAGUUGAACCCUCUUGGAAAGGUAUUGUUUUAUGGUUUAAUCUUAUUUAUACUUCCUACAAAAAUUCAAUACUUUUUUUUUUUUAAAUUUUUUACACCAUAUGAUUUGCAGGUUCCUGCGCUUGAGACUCCCGAGGGGCCUAUAUUUGAGAGUAAUGCAAUUGCUCGCUAUGGUGAGGGACAAAAUAGUCAUUAACAUUUCUAAUCUUUUUUUUUUUUAAUUAUUAUUAUGGUGAUGGUUCUUAUUUUGUCAUAUUGUUUGUUGAAGUUGCUCGUUUGAAGCCUGAAAAUACUCUCUUUGGAUCUUCACCGAUAGAAUAUGUAAGUUUUUUUUGUGUUCUUUUCUCAUGAAUCAUGAUGAAGGAAUAAUGAUACUUCUAUAUAAAAAAGUUUGUUUAAUUUUAGAAAAAUAUUUUAUACAGGGCCAAAUUGAGCAGUGGAUUGACUUUUCUGCAUUGGAGCUUGAUGCAAAUAUGAGAGCAUGGGUCUUUCCAAGACUUGGAUAUGCCACAUACAUCAAAUCUGUUAGUUACUCCUGCUCUUUUCUUUUUGUUUUUUUUUUAAUAUUAUUCUUUUGCUCGUUUGAUAUUUUUUUUUUGAAAUGGUCUAUAUGAUAAAUCUGUGUGUAUGCAUGAUUUGAAGGCUGAGGAGAGUUAUAUAUCUGGUGUGAAAAGAGGUCUUGGUGCUCUAAACACGCAUCUUGCUUCACGUACUUUUUUGGUUGGUGAUUCCGUGACUUUGGCUGACAUCAUCAUGACAUGCAACUUGGUGAAUGGUUUUAAAUUUUUGUUUACAAAGAGUUUCACUUCUGAGUUUCCUCAUGUUGAGAGGUAUUUCUGGACCAUGGUUAAUCAACCAAACUUCAGUAAGAUAAUUAAAAGAAUGGGGGAAGUCAAGCAAGCAGAAGUUGUUCUUCCUUUUACUUCCACCAAGAAACCAGAGUCCAAACCAAAAUCUGAACCUAAAAAAGAAGAAGCCCCUAAGCCCAAGCCUGAACCCGAAGCUGCCCCAGAAGAGGAAGAGGCACCCAAGCCUAAGGCAAAGAAUCCUCUUGAUUUAUUGCCUCCAAGUCCAAUGGUUUUGGAUGACUGGAAAAGGCUUUACUCUAACACCAAAACUAACUUCCGUGAGGUUGCAAUCAAAGGUAUUUUCUUUUUUGACUUUUUUUUAAAAAAAAAUAUAUAUCUUCUUCUCAGACAACAGUUGGCUGAUAUAUUUGUUGAUUUUGUUGCAGGUUUUUGGGACAUGUAUGAUCCAGAGGGCUACUCUCUGUGGUUUUGUAACUACAAGUACAAUGAUGAGAACACUGUCUCAUUUGUGACAAUGAAUAAGGUUGGUGGAUUCCUUCAGCGUAUGGAUCUUGCAAGGAAAUAUGCUUUUGGAAAGAUGUUGAUUAUUGGAAACGAGCCUCCAUUCAAGGUCAAGGGUUUGUGGCUUUUCCGUGGGACUGAAAUCCCAAAAUUUGUGAUGGAUGAGUGUUAUGACAUGGAGCUUUACGAGUGGACCAAGGUUGACCUUUCUGACGAGGCACAAAAGGAGCGAGUGAAUCAGAUGAUUGAAGAUUUUGAGCCUUUUGAGGGUGAAGCUCUUUUGGAUGCUAAAUGCUUCAAAUGAGGGAAAAUGCUUCUAAGAUUACAACUUAACGGAUUUCCAAUAACAUGUGAAAAUUAUUGAAGAUUACAUCAAUUUUAGGGCCGUUUACACAUAGAAUGUUCUGUAAAUAUCUAGAUAUCAAACUUGAUGAUUCGUUGAUGUAUUAUGGCAUGUACUUGGAAAUAUGUGUUUCGUUCAAUGAUUGAACCCAACUCGUAAGCAUUAUCACUCCAAAUGAUCUUAAUUAGAGAUACAUAUUGAGUUUAAUGAGUGAAAUAAAUGCUUUAGGGAGAAAGGAUGCAUCACUAUUACUUUUCAACAGAUGUACCUAUUUAUGUCGUAUGUGUAUCUGUACAUGAAUUUGGUAAAAAAGUUUUAGCUGAAUGAGAGAUACUUUUUGGAAAGGACAAACGAUGUUGUCUAGCUUGAGAACAAAUGAUACAAGAGUCAAGACAUGCAUGGCCAUAUAAAGAAAGAUUGUGUAAAAUUUUCUUAAAUUUGUCAAGAGGAACAUGACCAAAACGUCAACGUCACAUAACCAAAAUGUUGAUGUCACGUAGUAAAGAAACAUAAGGAAAGACUUGUUUUGAUCUCAUUGUGAUAAUAAAAUAAAAUAAAAUAAAAUAAAAUAAAAAAGUCAUUUAUUUUUUGUGGAAAUUUGCCUUCCAAUAUAUUCAAGUCAUCAAUAGUUCAAGGGUUAAAAGAUGUAACUUGUUCUUAUGUAAAUUAAAGAGAACACUGUAGGGAAUCAUUGAGUGUCAAAUUGCAUUUAAUCCAUAUUUUCAAUUUUUAACUAGUAACAUCCCAUAUCUAUAUCUAUAUCUAUAUGAUACAUACUUAUAAAGCUAAUAUUUUUUUUUGAAUCUCAUGCAUUUGAAACUUCUUUUUUUAACUUCCUCAAACCACAUUCAUUUGAAACCCUCUUUUUUAACUAAUGCAACUCAAAAGUUUUCUUAAUUAUGAUUUAACACUCAAAAGUUUUAUAAUUUAUAUUAUGCUUAAUUAGCAUAUAGUGAAAAGUUUAGUAUAAAAAUGCCAAUUUUUUGUGUCUUUUGUGUUAUAUAAAAUCUUACAUGUAAGAAGGAUUUGAAGAUACUGUGAUUCAAAAGUUUUCACGUAGUUGAAGCAUUCACGAUCUAAAUAUGAUGAUUUGAAGAAAUGGGUUAUGUCGAUCCAAAUAUGAUGAUUUGAAGAAAUGGGUUAUGUCGCAUCGAUGAUAAUUGUAAUAUGAUUUUUUCUUUCGACCAAAACAAAUGAAGUUUUUCUAUUCUUUCUUUAUAUUCAGUUUCUCAUUUAAUCUUUAUAUGUGAUUUGUGUGUAUUAUUCAAUCUUGAAUGUGAUUCUCCAAACAUCAAUGUUUUGCUUGGAAUAUCUUUUUGAUUCUUCUUUUUCAAGAAAAAUAUUUUGAUUGCAGGUUAGUGAAGAAUUGUGAUAAGUUUCUAUGGUUGAAUGAUGUUAAAUGAAGAAAGAAGAUUCAUAAAAUGGAUAUAGGUUUUUUUUGUUUGAGCAAGUUGACGAAUGUUAGUUUUUUCUUUUGAUUUAAAUGUAUGUUUAUCUAACAUCUUUAUUUAUAUAUUAAACUACCCAAUGCUCUUAUUUAUUUGAUAGUAGUUUUUCUAUUUUGAUUAUGUUUAUUUUCUAUUAUAUUUUUGUUGGGUUAUCCUACACAACAUAUUUAAAAGACAAUAUUUAAAAGAUAACAUAAUUUUGAACAUUUGAUAUGUAAUUAUGAUAGACUUAUCAUGAUAUGUUCUUCAUAUGAAAGUAAUUUAUCCAUAUUAAUACAACAAGAAUUACAUAUGACAUUUACGAAAAUAUAUAUAUUAUAUGUGAUUUGUUUAACAUGUAUAUGCACCUAUGUAUGUUAUAAAUUUAUAAUUAAAUAUCUUUAUGUUUAAUAAUUGAAGGGAUUAAAAUGAUGCAUCAAAACCAAUUAUUUAGACAAAUAUAAUAAUAAUAAUAAUAAUAAUAAUAAUAAUAAUAAUAAUAAUUAUACAUUUCCAAGUACCGCAUUCAUUUGAAACUCACACUACAACUCAAGAGUUUUUUAAUUUAUGUAUAUUUAUUAGUUACAACUCAAGAGUUUUUAACUUAUGAUCAUUAAUUAGUAAUCACUAAUAACUUUUUAUUUUCCUUUCUUUUAUAAGGUUGUAAAGUUUUGCUCAUUAAAAACAUUAAUGUAUUUGAAGAGAUUUGUGAUUUAAAUAUGAAGAGUUAAUAUAAAUGUUAUAAUAGAUGUUUUAAUGUUUUUUAUGUUAUUAAAAGUUAUAAUGUUUAUUUUUUUAUUUUUUAUUAUUCGUUGUAUAUAUAUCUUUUUUAAUACAAACGUUAUAAUAGAUGUUUUUCUAUUUUUAUGUUACUAAAAGUUGCAGUUCAUAUUUUUGUUCAUAUGUUCUGUUACCCGUUAUAUUAUCAUUCAUUUGAUAUAUAAUUUACACAACUUUAAACGGUUUAUAAAAUUAUAAAAUAAUUGUAUAUAUCACAAUGACUUAAAAAUUAAACUAUAAUGUUUAAUAAAACUAAUAUGUUAACUAUAUGUUUGCUUACUACUAACAUUUUGUUUCAAAGUAGAAAUAUUAAAUAAUAAUUUGGUAAAAAUUAUUAUUUUAACUAUAUAAUUUUAUUAUCGCGCAACGCGCGGGGAUUUGCCUAGUAUCUUAUAAAGCUAGUAUUUUUUCUUGAACCUCAUGCAUUUGAAACUCCCAAAACACCACAUUCAUUUGAAAUUCCCAUGACUUUUCAUAUUCUUUUUGAUAAUGAUUAUAAGUAUGUUAAGAAUGUUAAAUAAAUAUCAAACCUAAAGUGUAAUCAUAUAUAAACUCAAUAUUAAAAUAAUAUAUUUACUUUUAUUUAUAAAGUUAUGUCUUUAACUUUUAACAUAUUAUACUUUAUUUAUUAAUUUUAAAAUGUUGUUGUAUGUAAACCUUUAUCAUUUUGAAGCAACAACUUUUGAACUGUUUAGAUAAAAUACUUAAAUUGUUAAUUUAAAUAUAAUAUUACAUGGUCAAAAUAAAUAUAAAUUUUAGUUCAACUUAAACAACGUAAAGAAUCUUUUAUAAAUAAUUCAAAAUGACAAAUUGUAGUGUUUUUUCUAAUAAUGAUUAUAAGUUUGUUAAUAAAGUUAAAUAAAUAUCAAACCUAAAGUGUAAUCAUAAAUAAAAUAAAUUUUAUUUACUUCUAUUUAUAAGGUUACGUCUUUAAUUUUUAACAUUUUAUACUUAAUUUAUUAGAUUUAUAUUCAGUUUAAAGCUACAACUUCUGAACAGUUUGGAUAAAAUACUUAAAUUGUUAAUUUAAAUAUAACAUUACAUGGUCAACUUAAAUAUAAAUUUCAGUUUCACUUAAAAAACUCAAAUAAUAUUUUGUGAAUAGUUAAACGUGAUAAAUUAUAGUGUUAAAUGCAAAAACUAAAUUUUAAUAUCAAUUUAACCAAAAUAUUUCCUAAAGAUAUGUUUAUAAUCAUUUAAAUUUUCAAAUAAGUAGCUUAAAAUAAUUCACAAUAACAAUAGUUAAAAUUAACUUUAUAUAAACGAUUAUAUUGUUACCUUUAAAAACAAAAAGACAAUUUUUGAUGUUUUAAAUAAUUACAAUGAUAGAAAUUAAAACAUUAAACAAAUAAAUAUUAAAAAAUUAAUUAACAAUAACAAAUAACAUUAAACCAUAUAUUAUUUUUAUUUUCUUUAGUGAAUUACAUGUAGGUAGAGGUCAUUCAAACGAUUACGAUUAUAUAGUUAUAAUAGAUGUAUAUAUUAUAAUAUAAUUCAAAAUAAUCAAUAUAUUAUAUCAAUUUCAUAUACGAAUUAUUAUAUCAAAUUUAACAAUAACAUUAUUGUUAUAUUUAAGAAAACAUAUAUUUGUAAAGAUUUCAACUAUAUAAAUGAAGCAUUUUUCCUUUCAUCAUGUUCAUUUGAAACUCCCAUGCAUUUUUCCUUUCACCACAUUCAUUUGAAACUCCCAUGACUUUUCAAUUUAUUUCUAAUAAUAAUUAUAAUCUGGUUAAUUAGGUUAAAUAAAUAUCAAACCAAAAGUGUAAUCAUAUAAAAACUAAAUUUCAAUAUUAAAAUAAUAUAUUUACUUCUACUUAUAAAGUUAUGUUUUUUAACUUUUAACAUAUUAUACUUAACUUAUUAGUUUUAAUAUAUUGUUGGAUCUAAACCAUUAUCAUUUUAAAGAUACAAUUUUGGAACAAUUUGUACAAAAUACUUAAAUUAUUAAUUUAAAUAUUACAUUACAUGGUCAACUUAAAUAUAAAUUUUAGUUUAACUUAAACAACCCAAAAAAUAUUUUGUAAAUAGUUAAAAGUGAUAAAUUAUAGUGUCUUUCUAAUAAUGAUUAUAAGUUGGUUAACAUGGUUAAAUAAAUAUCAAACCUAAAGUGUAAUCAUAAAUAAACUAGAUUUCAAUUUUAAAAUAAUAUCUUUACUUCAACUUAUAAAGUUAUGCCCUUAAUUUUUAACAUAUUAUACUUGAUUUAUUAGAUUUAAUAUGUUGUUAUGUGUAAACUAUUAUCACCUUAAAGCUACAACUUUUGAAUAGUUUAGACAAAAUACUUAAAUUGUUAACUUAAAUAUAACAUUACAGUGUCAACUUAAAUAUAAAUUUCAGUUCCACUUAAAAAACCAAAGAAUAUUUUAUAAAUAAUUAAAAGUGACAAAUUGUAGUGAUAAAUGCAAAAACGAAACUAUAAUCUCCAUUUAAUUAAAUUAUUUCAUAAAGAUAUUUUUAUAAUCAUUAAAAGUUUUCAAAUAAGUAACUUAAAAUAACUUACAAUAAAAAUAGUUAAAAAUAACUCUAUAUAAAUGAUUAUAUUGUUACCUUUUAAAUCAAAAAGUAAUGUUUGAUGUUUUAAAUAAUUAUAAUGAUAGAAAUUAAAACAUUAAAAAAAAAAUUUAAAUUAAUUAACAAUAACAACAACUAUAAAUAACAUUAAACCAUAUAUUAUAUUUAAUUUUAUUCAUGUGUAACUCGCGGUUAUAAGUCAUUCAAACGAUUGAGAUUAUGAAGUUAUAAUAGAUGUAUAUUAUCAUAUAAUUCAAAAUAAUCAAUAUUAUAUUAAUUUAGUAUACGAAUUAUUAUAUCAAAUUCAACAACAACGUUAUUGUUAUAUUUUAAAACACAUAUAUUUGUAAAGACUUCAGCUAUAUAGGUAUUUAUGCGCAUUAAAAUGUCAACUUAAAUAUAAAUUUCAGUUCCACUUAAAAAACCAAAGAAUAUUUUGUAAAUAGUUAAAAGUGAUAAUUUGUAUUGAUAAAUGCAAAAACUAAAUUGUAAUCUCAAUUUAACUAAAAUAUUUCCUAAAGAUAUUUUUAUAAUCGUUAAAAGUUUCCAAAUAAGUAGCUUAAAAUAAUUUACAAUAACAAUAGUUAAAAAUAACUCUACAUAAAUGAUUAUAUUGUUAUCUUUAAGAUCAAAAAAUAAUGUUUGAUGUUUUAAAUAAUAAUGAUAGAUAUUCAAACAUUAAGCAAAUAAAUUUUAAAAAAUUAAUUAACAAUAACAACAACUAUAAAUACAAUUAAACCAUAUAUUAUAUUUAAUUUUAUUCAUGUGUAACUCGCGGAUAGAAGUCAUUCAAACGAUUGAGAUUAUGAAGUUAUAAUAGAUGUAUAUAUUAUAUAUAAUUCAAAAUAAUCAAUAUAUUAAAUCAAUUUACUAUACAAAUUAUUAUAUCAAUUUUAACAAAAUCGUUAUUGUUAUAUUUAAAAAAACAUAUAUUUCUAAAGACUUUAACUAUAUAUGUGUUUCUGCGCAAUGCACGGGUAUUCGCCUAGUAUCAUUAAAAAUUGCAUGUUAUGUCUUUAGUACACAUGAAAUCAUUAUAUCGCCUUUUAUAUUUUGUAUUUCAGUUUUUUAAUAUUUCUUUAUUAUUUAUAAAUAAAAAAAUUGAAUUAAUGUGAUUUAUAAUUUAAUGGGUCCGACAAUCUCUCAUACUCCCUUUCUACCUUCCCCUCCAUCCCCUUCUUCACCAUACUCCUUUUUCGGCUCCACCACCACCCACCUUUAAUUUUUCGGCACCACUCUCACCUCCGACGACGAUUAAAUCCUAACCAUCAAAGACUACUUCGUUCCCUUUUCCGAACAGGUUAGACACAUAAAUGCACACCACACCAAAUUUGAUCUCCAAUAAAAACCCAAAAUCCGCAACCAUCUGAAAAUUUAUAGUAGGGGCGAUCAUUAAUUUGGUAUCCUAAUAUUAUUCAUCCAAAGAAACAAAUGGGUGAUACCCUAGUCUAAAACUUGAUUUAAAGAUAGGGGGAGAGAGAGAGAGAGAGAGGCGAUUUCAAAAAACCGAUUUUUAGGUUGCAAGGAUGGAUCAUUACAUAAACAUAUAUUGAUCUCAUAAAAUCGAUCCACCACCACCAAACCGAUGAUAGAUUCUCCAGAGGUUGUGGGUUGUAGGUUCGAUUCUUCCUGCAAAAUAGUCGGAGAUGUUUGAGCGAUGGUGCAUAUCUAUAGCGACUUUUAGUGGUGAUAUCGAAGACAAUGGUGGGUAACCCUUUUAAUGGCGGUGACGGUGAUGGUGACAAUGAUUGUCGUUGUUCUUAUUCCAUUAUUUAUAAAUUUGGAUUUUUAGAAGAGGUGGGGGAUGGUCUCCGAAUGAAGAUGAUGUAGUGAGGUAAUGGUUGCUGGAGGAAGAUGAUGUAAGAGGUAAUGGUCGUCAGAGGAAGAUGAUGUUGAUGGUUCUUCAAGUUUAGAGAUAAGACAAGGAAGUGGGAGGUGCAAAGAGAAAGAUACCAUGUGUUCUUAGAUUUAGAGCAUCUCCAACCCACUCCCAUUUCCAUUUCCCCCCCNNNNNNNNNNNNNNNNNNNNNNNNNNNNNNNNNNNNNNNNNNNNNNNNNNNNNNNNNNNNNNNNNNNNNNNNNNNNNNNNNNNNNNNNNNNNNNNNNNNNNNNNNNNNNNNNNNNNNNNNNNNNNNNNNNNNNNNNNNNNNNNNNNNNNNNNNNNNNNNNNNNNNNNNNNNNNNNNNNNNNNNNNNNNNNNNNNNNNNNNNNNNNNNNNNNNNNNNNNNNNNNNNNNNNNNNNNNNNNNNNNNNNNNNNNNNNNNNNNNNNNNNNNNNNNNNNNNNNNNNNNNNNNNNNNNNNNNNNNNNNNNNNNNNNNNNNNNNNNNNNNNNNNNNNNNNNNNNNNNNNNNNNNNNNNNNNNNNNNNNNNNNNNNNNNNNNNNNNNNNNNNNNNNNNNNNNNNNNNNNNNNNNNNNNNNNNNNNNNNNNNNNNNNNNNNNNNNNNNNNNNNNNNNNNNNNNNNNNNNNNNNNNNNNNNNNNNNNNNNNNNNNNNNNNNNNNNNNNNNNNNNNNNNNNNNNNNNNNNNNNNNNNNNNNNNNNNNNNNNNNNNNNNNNNNNNNNNNNNNNNNNNNNNNNNNNNNNNNNNNNNNNNNNNNNNNNNNNNNNNNNNNNNNNGUAGCGGGUGAGGGGGUGGUGGGAGUGGGGCCCAUUUCCUUCUAAAGCAAUAAAUAACAAUAAAUAAUAUUAUAUUAAUAGAAAAUAAAUUCAUAAGGUAUUAUGGUCAUUUAAAUAACAAACACAACAUAAACUGCACAAAUACAUUUUUCAAAGACGAAACUUACAAAUCUAAACUAAAUUGAAUUGUUCUACAAAUUAAGGAAAUUCUUUUUAGUUUGAAUCAACCCCAAGGUAGUAGCACAAAAGAUUUGACUUCAUGUUCUGAAAAGGUUUUAAAAUAUAUACUUUUGAUAUUUGUGUCUACUUGAAAGAUGUUAAAGGUUUAACCAUACAUUUACUCUUUUAUGUCAAUGAUAUGUUAAUUGUGCAGUUGAUAAGAUGGCAAUUCAAAAGUUAAAAGGAUAGUUGUAUAGUGAAUAUGAGAUGAAAGAUGUGCAAAAAAAUUGGCUUGGAGAAUUCUAGAAAGACACUAUUUGGAAAACUACACCCAAGUCUUGGUGGGUAUACUGAGAAGGCAAUUUUUCGUUUUAACACGCAUGAUAUCGAACAGGUGAGUACCCAUUACCUGCACACUUUAAAUUAUCAUCAACUUUAUGCCUACAUAUAAAUAAAUAAUGAUAAUGAUUACAUCUUUAAAGUCCCAUUGUCACACCCCCGAACCAGACGGCGGAAACGUCCGGGGGCUGUCGUGACUCAAUUGAAUACCAUAACAUUGAAUAUAUAUGAAACAUAACAACAUUCGUCACCGUGCAUUAAUAUAGUACAACCAAUAGCGUUUACAUGAAAUACAUUGUUUAAACAUUACAUUCCCAAAAAUUAAAUUGUUCGGUUCGUACAUAAUUAAACUGCAAGCCGUCACUGAAUAUGAUUUCCUUUGAUUCAAUGGUUCUCUGAAAAUACAAGUAUUUUGAAAAACGUCAACAUAUGAAAUGUUGGUGAGUUCAUAAGCGGUAUUUGAAGCAAACAAUGUUCAUAUCGUUUGAAAACCACCAGAAAAUCCGAUAUUUUCUGAAAUGAAAAACUUUCGAAAAUGUUUGUGAAGAUCCAUAGGUAUGCUUGUUUGUUUCUAUACUUGUAAAAAUUGUUCAUUAAUAUUAUAUGCGUUUCGAAUCCGAUAUGUUUUGAAAAACCUAGGAAAACCCGAUGUUUUCCUAAUCCUUUGAAAUCCAUUAAGUUGCGUUGAAACCAUUACAAAAAUAGAAGUCUCAUUCCCAGGCGACGUUGGAUUAUUUUUUAGCAUGAUUAUUUACUACAAACCCGCAUUACACAAACGCCCAGUUUAUAGCAAUACUAACGAUCCCGAAGGCGUCGUCCGUACAAAUCACGUUAUCCAGCCGCCCUGACUAUGUGUCGUCCCACAUCCGAAGAGUAAGAGGACACGAAGGCCUCGAUGACUCUAUUAAUCGGUUGGGGAUAAUAUGCGUACGAGGGGUCCCCGACCCGCCUCGCAAAAAAUGUAGACUUUACUAGCUAUACCAAAGGACCCUUGGGGACCAGUAGUAUACAAGCCAUUGAAAGUCCAUUUACGUUGUGUCGGAUCGGUAAAACCCAACACUCCGUAAAAAAAAUGUCUUCGGGCCUUAAGAUCAGGUCAUUGGGCUAGCUAGGCUCAACGAACAAGAUUUUACACUUUUGGGGCCCAAAGAUGGUGCGUAGACGUCUGUGCACACUCGCAUGUAUAAUGUAUUACCAAACGUUACUUGUAUGAAUCGUAGUAUCGUAGUGUCGUAGUGUUAGUAGUUGUAGAUUUCUAUUGGUUCGAGACCGAGCCAAUUCGUUUAACAACGACUUUUGGUAUUGUAAUGUAUUGUAUUUCGUCGAUAGCCGCGGUGCCAUUAUUUGAUCAAAUUGUGUAUAUUGAAUUAGCCUUGAAAUUUUUCUGUUUUCAGCCCCUCAUUGUUUGUAAAAUUUACAUUUUCAACCCUUUUAUUAAAUACUUCCCGGUUUGGUCCUUAAAUUAAUUUUCUUGACAUUUUAACACCAAAAAUUAUUGAAAUUAAUAUUUUUCAGCAUAUUUUUCAUAGAAAACAGUUUAAGUCCCUGAAAAUGCAGUUUUCUCGGUUUUAACCCUUCUUUUUCGCAACUUUGACAAUUUUGGCCCAAAUUGGAAAAUUUUUGCAACUUUGGUCCUUUUUAAAUUUAAAAAGCAUUUUAAACCUUUGAAAAGGACUUGGAUCACUUAUGGUCCACUGUUUUACAGAAAAUCACAGUUUUGGCCCUCCAAAACAGAAAAAUUCGCAUAAUGGGCCUCAUUGGGCCAAAAAUGUCAUUUUUAGCCCAUUAAGCUUGGAAUUUAUGUUUUUAAUCCCCUAAAUGAGUAUAUUUCCAGAAAUUGAUUUAUGGAAACUGUUUUGGCACACUUCAUCCAUCAGAAUUCGUGAUAUGCCAAUUUGGACCCUUAAUUUUGUAUUUUUCACAUUUUAGGCCCAAAAUUUGUGUUUUUAACCCAAAGAAAAUUGUUACUAAACCACUUAACCAUUUUUCUUGAAACACUUUGUAUUUAGAAAUAUAUUUGAAGCUAAAAUCAUUUAACACAAGAUAUAUCUCGGUUUUGAGGGGUUUUAUGGCUAGAUCCAACAUUAUAACACACAAAUGCAUACAUAUAAGCAUGGAAAUCAUACAAGGCAUACAAAACACAUAUAGAUCUACACUUUCACUUGUAUUCCCCCCCCCCCACAAAACUCAUAAAAACAGAAAAUAGGGGGUAUGAAGCUCACCUUGGGUGUGGUUUCGGUUUUUGGAAGAAAAGAUGGAAGAAAACUUGAUGAUUUUUGGCCUUAGCACCUUUCCUUGGUAGAUCUCGAGUUUGAGAUGGUUCUAGGGUGCAAGAUCACGAUUUUUGCAUAGAUUAGGAAAGGAUUUUGAUAACAAAAAGAAUCUAAACCAUAGAUCCAAGCAUAAUCUUACCUUAGAUGAUGAUUAACUUGCAAGAUCCUCUUGAAAGCCCCUAAUUUUCGAGAUUUUUGGAGAGGGGAGGAAGGAGAGUUCUUGAGUAAUCUAGAGAGAAUUUGAGAGAUUUUUGUGUGGGUGUAUGGCUGAGAGUGAGAGAGAUAGGAAGAAGAGAUGUGAUCUUGAAGUGAUAUGCAUGGAAGAAUGAGAAAUAAUGCAUGGAAGUCCUAUGGGUAAUAGUGAGGUGGCAUCCAAAGUCAACACUUCCAUUUCUCUUUGGGUUUGGGCCUUGGGCCGAGAAUGGGAAGAGAAAAAAAGGAUUUUUGGGCUUUUUGCCCUUAAGCCCAAUAUUUGAGGUAGUUUGGGUGUUCAUUGGCCUUAUAAAAUAAAAUUGUGAUUUUUAUGCUUUAUUAAGCUAGGUUAGGUUAAAUUAUGGAUCAAAGCUUGUGAUUUAUUUCAUUCUAGGCCCAAUAUGGCCCAAAAUAUUGAGAUAAAUAAGUGUGGGUCCAAUUAGAGCCCAAUUAGGGUUCUAAGCCCAUGAUAGUCUAUUUGGAAGCUUAUUGGUCCAUUUGGAUCCAAUAAGGAAGUUCUAGUCCAAGGUGUACCUAAACAAGAACUUUUAGGGUUUCCAAUUGUUUGAUGACUAUUUGUAGUACUUGUAUGAUGUAUUUGAUUGAAGUUUUUGAUUCACAUUAACUUGAAUGUAUAGAUUACAUGACACAAAAUUUCCAGUUGUGACACCCAUAUUCUAAUUCAAAUGGUUGACUUAAGCAUGCCAUGGUUUGCUUACGUCAUCAUGCAUUAAGUGUUGUUAGUCAAUUCAUGACAAACCUUUGUAAAAAGCACUAGAAGGUAGUUCAAUGGAUUUUCAAAUUCCUUUGUGGUAUAUUGAAUGUUUGCCUAGAUUUUGGAAAAUCAAAAAACAGGUUGGUUGAAUUUAUGGAUUCAGAUUAUGUUGGUGAUUUAGACAAAAGAUUAUGGAAUACAAAGAAACUACUCAGUUGACUAGAGUUGACUUCAUGGAUAAGGUGACAUAAUGUUUGGAAGGCUCUGAAAACGGCUUGCUUGGGGAGCAAGUCGUCGCCCUAGGGUUUCUAGGGGUCGGUCUAUAGGGGCUCUUUUCAUGCCUUCUAGGGUUUCGAUACCUAUAAAUAAUGCUCCCUAGGAGUUGUAUUGACUACUCAUGAAAAUUAAAAGCCUCUAUCCCGCUCUCUGCAUUUUUUCCUGGUUUCCAAGUAUUCGCUUUGUGUUUAUCAAAUUCCAGUGUUGUUGGAAGAUCGAUAGAUCUGCAUUAAAUCCUGGGGUUUUACUAUGUUGCUUACAACCAGAAGAAGCGAAGUACAAACCUUUAAGGACAAGAGUUCGAUUCGUGCAAUUGUUUCAAGUUCAAGAUCAGCCAUUGACAGGUCGGUUUUAUUUUUCUGUCUUGUGUUGCGAAAUAAGGCUAAACCUAACCUUCUUAAAUUAUUUAGUCCUUGCAAUAUGUAACUUAACAUAUUCGUUUACUAGUUAGUAACAUAUAACUAGAACUCCUAAAAGCACAAAGCAAGCAACAUUCGAGCAUUGAGUACACAUAAUUAAGCAUAUACUUCUCAGGCUAUCCUUGACUAAUUUGUACUAGCAUGCAGUUCUCAUAAGUUGAUACACAUAUAACUGGAACAUAAGGCAUCCUUCCUAUAUCCUUAGUCCUAAUCUAGCAUGCAGUUCUCAAGUUGAUAAUCAUAUCAUAACAUAAACUUGUAUGGGUAAUUUGGGAGUACUUACUUGAUCUCGGCUGAUUGCAUGCACCACACCCUUUUCUCUUUUCAAAGUUCUUUUUCCUUUCUCAAAAUUAUUUUCUCUUUUCUAAAUUCUUUUUAUAAAAAUGAUUUCAUUUUGAAAAUUUUCAUACCAAGUCCUUAGUUUGAGUUCAGACACACCCGAGAGUGUGCCCGAAUCCCUCAAACCAAGGCUCUGAUACCAACUUGAAACGUCCCAAAAAUACAGUCCAAAAUUUUCGUUUUUAAAUCAUUAUUAAAACCAUAAAUAUCAUCACCAUAGUAUAAAAUCAUAAACCAUGUAUCUCAAAAUGUCAUAAUAUUUGUCAACAUAUCAAAAUCUCAUAUCAAAUAUCAGAGUAAAUUUACCAGGCUAGAAAACUGUGGUGUGUGCCAUGCGAUCAUCCCGAGCCCUUCCCUUUGCUAGCUGAAGUACCUAAAACCAAACUGAAAACUGUAAGCACAAAGCUUAGUGAGCUCCCCCAAACUACCAUAUACCAUACACAUAUAUCAUAUUACAAAUAACACAACUAUGAGACAUCGCCCAGCUAAAUCGGGACGAACCCGACAUCGGACUCCUGUCCGGCAUCGGGCUCACCCCAACAUUAGACCACGUCUGCCAUCGGGCUCACCCCGGCAUCGGGCCUACCCUGACACAUACACAACAUAUCAUAUAUCAUAAACACAUAACAUAAGCAUAUAACAUACAUCAGGCUUACCCCGACAUCUGACCAAAGCCCGUAACGCAUAACAUAUAUCAUAUAAACUAACAUGCAUCAGGCUUGCCCUGACAUCGGGAUCACCUCGGAACACAUAACACAUAAUAGAUACACUAACAUACAUCAGGCUUGCCCCGGAACAUAUAACACAUAACAUGCAUGAAUCACAAAGACAUCAAGCAUACAUAUACUCUUCUCGGGACCACCCCGGCAUCAGACCAUAGUCCGAAACUACUAACAUCUAAACGGGUCGACAUUGUGGCCUUAGACAUGUUCCUACUGGAAGAGGAAUCACCUCUCAAACUGGAUGCUGAACUCGUGCGUGAGGAAUCUAUGCUGGCUACUCCCACGACUCCCCGACUAGCUCUAUACAAUAUUACUUAGUCAAAAAACUAAACAUCCAUCUAAGGGUAAAAUGACCAUUUUACCCCGGUCAAAGUCCAUACUCUGGUCAAAGUCAACAUUCUGGGUUGACCAACUCGCCGAGUUCUAUAACUCAAAAAUUCUGGAAUCGCGACUCAACUCGCCGAGUCGCUCCACCGACUCGUCGAGUCCUAUCGAGCUGCUUAAUCACGACUUGGCUAAUCCACUCGUCGAGUCCCUCUACAGACUCAUCGAGUUCUACUAUAAACUGGAAUCGGGACAACACGACGAGUCCUUCUGUCUGAUUAGCCAUCUUAACAAAUUAAGCCCUUGUUCUCUAGAUCUAUAGUCCAUACUUCACUUGUUCACCGGGAAUGACCUUUCUAAGGGUAAAGUUUCCAACUUUACCCGUUGAUAACUCAAUUUGGAGGGUUUAGCUAAAACCCUAAUUCCUUUAGGACAUGGAUCUUGUCCAAAAAGCCUUAGAAUCUCAAAUCCAUGCAUGCAAACCUAUAUCUAGGGCCUAGCUAUCAGUUAACCACAAAAAGUCUCAAGCUUGCUUCCAUGCAUGGCCUUUUUGAGCUCAAAAGGCCAUAAAUACGUCUUUAGCACUUGCAUGGGGGAUCUAAGGACAUAAAGUUUGCACCUUUAUGUCUUCACAUCCCCUCCGGGCACUAGAUCUGGAAGAGUAACUCUUGGGUCGAUCCUUACCCACAAGUUAGGAAAUCUUGGACCAAAACCCACAUAAAGAGGUCAUAAAUAGAUCUAAGAAGAAAAUGAUCAAGUUUAAAGCUUUAUUACCAGAAAAUGAAUCUAAAGGGAUUAAACUUCUGGAUCUACUGUUUCUCUCUUGAGUUUUCUAACUUUUUCUUCUUCCACAAGCUUCAAAAGGCACAAAUAACACUCAAAAUGGCAAGAAAUAACUCAAGAUCACUCUAGGUGAAUUAGGGCUUCGAGAUUAGGGUUUUGAGGUGAUAGAGGCUGGGAUGGAGGCCAGAUAUGAUGCUUAAAUAGGGUGCAAACCCUAAAGAUUAGGGUUUUAUCCAGCCUGUCCUACUCGUCGAGUCAGGUUGUGACCCGCAGAGUAGCUCACUUAAAACCCAUGCAUAUACUGCCUUAUACUCGACGAGUUAAGGCCACCAACUUGUCAAGUGGCCCUUCCAAAAUGAAUAAUUAAAUGAAUUAAGUGCAUACCAUGAAUUAAGUGUUACAUUUACACAAAUUCUUGAGUUUCUACACUCAAUCGCCAUAAAAAGGAAAUAGAAUUAGAGUUAUCGAUGCAUUAAAUUGAAAAGGGAUUUGGAGAAAUCAACAAAAGAAGUUACUAGAGAUAAUGAAGAGGGAUUUCUUGCAAGAGUCUAGAAUAUCCCAUAGACCUUUAACUUCAGUUUAUUCUCUGGUACAUGUGACGAAGAUGAGGCUGCUCUUUAACAGAAGAAUCUAGAAUUAGGGCAUGUACAUGUGAAAUACUAAAUAAAAUCAUAUCUGAUGCCAGAUAGAGGAUUGAAGAAGAGAAAGGAGGGUUGAUGCUAAGCAUAUCAAUUCAAAAACUAGUGUUAAGAGCUAUAAGAUUACCUUUAUCAAAUAAACUAAGGCCCCGAUUGAUAGUUGCUGAAUGGGAAAUGUCUGUCUGAGUAAUAAAUUAUGACUGAGUAAGAAACCAUUCUGUUUGAUUGUACAUCUGACUGAAUGUGCUGACUGAUGCAAAAUGACCAUUUUACCCUGAUGCUCUAGUGAUGGAUAAUAAUAAUAAUAAUAAUAAUAAUAAUAAUAAUUGAUUAUAAAAGUUCAGGGACCAACUAGUAAUUUCCAGAAAUUAAUUAUGCAAGACAAUUUGAAGUUAUGGUAGAUUCGGCCAAGAUGGAUAUCUUCAAGGACCAAAACUGCCUAAUUCUAAUUUUGAGUUGUGCGUGUGUGUUCUGGUUUCUUUUUCCCUUUUCAGGGAUUAAAUUGAUGGUUGAGGAAGGAGGAUGAGGGUGGGGCAGGGCAAUGGUGGAAUGAAUUUCAAUCAGAUUUAGUCAAUAAUUUUUUUGGGUACGAGCAAGUCAGACAUUGUUAACCCGGUCAGAUGCAAAGCUAAAACAUAUCAAACACAUAAAGCUGAUCGAAUCAGACAUUUUUAUUUGACGUGACCCGGUCAGAUCCAAAUCAAACAAGACCUAAAUAAAGAAUUGACUACUAAAUUUGGAAUGGAUUAACUGCAAAUGGAUGAGAAAAUGGCAUGUUGUGAACUCUUAGUUUAUAAAUAUGACUCUUGACAUAAAAAGUAAUCUAUAUUAGUAUUUGAUAUUUUUUUUGUUGUAUUUAUAAUAAAAUACCGUGCACAUACAUAUUUAAUUGGAGUUAAAUAAUUGUUGCAAUUCUUUUGUUGUAUUUUAUGAAAUUAAAACUUAAAAAACAAUUUUUUUUUAUCCAAACUGAUUUAGCAAAAAACCGAUUACAGACUGAUUACAAACCUGCCAGAUAAAAAACCCGGUUCUUAAAAACCUGUUUGCCUUCGUUGGAAACAGAGGACCGAAUCGAUGAUUAAAAAUCGAAUAUUCGAAUGUGGGCAUCAGCAAUCAAAUACGAAUAUACGAUAACAAACAGACUGAAGUAUUGAAGUGGUGAUGUAAUUGGGCUGGGCCUCGUAAUAUUUUGUAAUGAUCCGUUGUUAAUAGUGGAAGGCUUACUCUGUCUUUUAAUAUGCUCGGCACCUCUAUACCAAAACCCUAGAUUUGUAUUUGUCACUGCUUUGGGAGUAAACGCUCGUACCAGGUAUCCUUUUUUCUGCUCAAUUGUGAACCAUGUAUACUUAUGUCUCAUUCGCCUUACUCUUCUUUACACCCUGAUAUACUGUUGAAUUUUCGUUGUUACUGUAGAUCGAUAUCAGAAGGCGAUCGUUUGUUCCUCAAGCAAUGGCGCUGGUGAGUUUUUUGUUCGUUUUUUGUGUUAAUUUUGAUUAGUUGACGCUUUUUUGUACGGAGUUCGUGACGGAUCUCACUUGUUUUGUAUAUAAUUUGUACGGAUGAGGCUUAUGAUUGCAUUUUUUCGUGGAUCGCUUUGUUUCGUUUACUCAUUUCGACUUUUAUCGUUUUGUUUGUGAGGUGAAAAACUCACUGGAACUUUAUUGUAUUCUUCAUCCACUUGAGUUUUCGAUGUUCAUUUUGUUUUGUGUAAUCAAUCGAUCAUGCUUGGUCUGUGUACAAAUUUUGCUAAUCGAUGUGGUUGAUUUUGUAUCAUAAUCAUCUGGAAAUGCUAGAUAUUAAUCAUGAGACCAAAUUUAAAAGUCACUGACAUCCAAUUAUCUGAUAGGGGAUAAGGAUUCAGAGGCUAGAUAUUAAUCAUGUAUUUGAGACCAAAUUUAUAAGGCAUUGACAUCCAAUUAACCUGAUAGUGGUAUAAGGAUUCAGCGGUUUAGUAGGCCUUGGAAAUGUUAUUCAUGCUUUUUGCUCUAUAUGGAAUAUUAUUCUUAAUUUUAUUUAGUUUUGAAUAUUAUAUUCUCUCAUGUAACCUUUUCAACAUCUUGAAGUUCAUAUGUAUUUGAUGCAACAAUAUCAACCGUUGGAACUUUAUAAAAAUUGACGUUUUAAUGUCUGAUUUGUGAUCAUUUGGUAUUUACAUUCUUGUGUCAGUUAAUUGCUUUUCAUAUGAUGUAUUCUUCUUGUUGCAGAUUAUGCACGCGGGGGCAAACAACAAGAAUGUUUACAAGUCAUUAAUUGCUGCAGAAUAUGUUGGUGUUGAGAUCAAAAUGGAUGAAAACUUUCAGAUGGGUGUGUCAAACAAGACUCCUGAAUUUCUUAAAAUGAACCCUAUUGGAAAGGUAUUGUUCUUUUAAUUUAUAAUCCAAUUAAAUCUUUCUACAAAAAGGAAAAUUUUAUUUAAUGUUUUAUACUGUAUUCUUCAUCAUUAAUGCAGGUCCCUGUUCUUGAGACUCCUGAGGGCGGAAUAUUUGAGAGUAAUGCUAUUGCUCGCUAUGGUGAGGCACCAAAUAGCCAUUGUUUCUAAUUUUCUUUUGGUUUUAAAGUAAUGAGCUUACUUUGUUAUGUUUUAUGCUGCAGUUGCUCAUUUGAAACCUGGAAAUUCUCUUUUUGGUUCUACACCGAUAGAAUAUGUAACUUUUUUGUUAUCUUUUAUGAUUAUUAAAGAAUAGCUAUACUUAUAACUUAUAUGAAAGCUUAUCUAUCUUAGGAAAAUAUUUUAUACAGGGCCAAAUUGAGCAGUGGAUUGACUUUGCAACCUUGGAGCUUGAUGCAAGUAUGAGGGGUUGGGCGAUACCAAGAUUUGGAUAUGCCAAUUACAUUAAACCUGUUAGUCACUUUUGCUCUUUUCAUAAUUUUAUUAUGAAUUUUUGAUGUGUCUUUUCCAUGGGAUAUUGUGAAAUGCUCUAAAUGACAAUCUUGUGUGCAUGUUUUGAAGGUUGAGGAGAGUUAUAUUGCUGCUACCAAGAGAGGUCUUGGUGCUCUAAACACAUAUCUUGCUUCACAUACUUACUUGGUUGGUGAUGGUGUUACUUUGGCUGACAUCAUCUUGACAUGCAACCUUGUGAUGGGUUUUAAAUUUUUGUUGACAAAAAGUUUCACAUCUGAGUUUCCUCAUGUUGAGAGGUAUUUCUGGACCCUGGUUAAUCAACCAAAAUUCAGUAAAAUAAUCGGAGAAGUUGUGCAAACCGAAGCUGUUAUUCCUCUUCCUUCAGCCAAGAAACCAGAGGAAAAACCAAAACCCGAGCCUAAAAAGGAAGUCAAGAAAGAAGAAGCCCCUAAACCCAAGCCUGAAGCUGCCCCAGAGGAGGAAGAGGCACCCAAGCCUAAGGCAAAGAAUCCUCUUGAUUUAUUGCCUCCAAGUCCAAUGGUUUUGGAUGACUGGAAAAGGCUUUACUCUAACACCAAAACUAACUUCCGUGAAGUUGCAAUCAAAGGUAUUUUCUUUUUUGACUUUUUUUUAAAAAAAAAUAUAUAUCCUCUUCUCAGACAACAGUUGACUGAUAUAUUUAUUGAUUUUGUUGCAGGUUUUUGGGACAUGUAUGAUCCAGAGGGAUACUCUCUUUGGUUUUGUAACUACAAAUACAAUGAUGAGAACACUGUCUCAUUUGUGACAAUGAACAAGGUUGGUGGAUUCCUUCAGCGAAUGGAUCUUGCAAGGAAAUAUGCUUUUGGAAAGAUGUUGAUUAUUGGAAACGAGCCUCCAUUCAAGGUCAAGGGUUUGUGGCUUUUCCGGGGGACUGAAAUCCCAAAAUUUGUGAUGGAUGAGUGUUAUGACAUGGAGCUUUACGAGUGGACCAAGGUUGACCUUUCUGACGAGGCACAAAAGGAGCGAGUGAAUCAGAUGAUUGAAGAUUUUGAGCCUUUUGAAGGUGAAGCUCUUUUGGAUGCCAAGUGCUUCAAGUGAGUGGAAAUGCUGGGACCCUCGAACCAUCAAUUAUUGUUGGUGAUUGGGUAGAUUUUUCUACAAAAUGUGUUUUUAGAUAUAUGUCAAACUUUGUUUUGUUUUGUGAUGUUUACUAGCAUAUUAUAAACUAAACCAGUUUUGUUUAUUGGG